RNAcentral lists this long non-coding RNA (45056 nucleotides) under Triticum aestivum (bread wheat). Its description in RNAcentral is "long non-coding RNA (TAES_LNC005574)". Lineage: Eukaryota; Viridiplantae; Streptophyta; Magnoliopsida; Poales; Poaceae. The record is from RNAcentral.
UUUUUUUUUGAGGUCGACUGGUCGACUUUAUCUUCAACAGGAUUAGUGGGGGCACGCUGAGUGCACCCACUGGGUGUAGUCCCCGAGACUACGGUCGAAUGCUUGUAUUCGGCUAUAGUCUUAGAAACGUGGGAUUUUUCCUUUUUCACUCGGAAGUGAAUUAUAUUUGACAUUUAGUCGAUUGGUUCUUCGCAGAACUCCUGUGAUCUUGUGGCUCGCUACUCUGAGCUGGAAAACAAGCACACUCAACUCGAGCUGAGCUUGAAGCUGGUUCAGGAGAAGCUGACGAAGGCAAAGGAGGAGACCGAAGGUAUGUUUGGUGAGACCCUGACGACUGCUUUUCCCCUUGCUUGUUUCAAAAUCUGAUCUUGCUGUAACUUGCAGGUAAGGUAAGGGAGGCCCAACAGAAGAAAGACCUCGAACUAGCUAAGAAGAUCAAGCUUGCUGACGAGAAGUUAGCUUCAGUCACCAAGCUUGAACAAGACAAUACCAAUCUGAAAGCUGCUCUUGGGAUCGCCAACAAGGAGGUCAGUCGACUAAAAACUGAUAAAGCUGCCCUGACUGACCAAGUCAGUAAGUUGACUGGGAAGAAAAAUGAUCUGGAGGCCUUCCUGAGUGGUCUUGCCAAGAAGCUGUUUCUUAUGCUUGAAGGUAAACCUCUAUGCUCGGCAAACAUUUCCAAUCGUGGUUUUUCCAUUCGACCAUCCCCUUGACUCAGUGAUCAUCCUUGCAGAAUUUUGCCAAAACUUUGAAGAAGAAACUAGCCGGCUGGAGCCAAACCUCGACCCCGUCAAUUCUCCGGUGAACGACGAAGUUGCCAUGGAUGUUUUCCGACUGGAGUCUCGUGUUGCAGCUGUCGUGGACUAUCUCGCAAGGCUGAAGGCCGCCACAUCUCGCAUCGACUCGACGCUCUGGCCUGAGGAGACACUUCAGAAUGACCUUGAGUCGCUGAUGGCCCGCUUGAACACGAUCCCUGGUCGAGUGCAGGAAUGGAAGAAGUCCUCGGCUCGGUGUGGUGCAGAUGUUGCUCUGUGUCUGGCCCGAGUCCACUGUAAAGAUGCGCGAGAAGAGAAGCUGGCGGCCCUUCGGGUGGCCAACACCAAGAAACACGACUUCAGGUCCUUUAUGGAAACUUUCCUUGCGGCUGCCACUCGGAUCGCCGACGGAAUUGACCUUGAUGAGUUCGUUGCACCUUCCAGCCCUCCACAGGAGGGGUAAAAAACUUCUUCUGGCUCGACGCUUUAAAUUUGCCUCGGUAUGCCGAGUGGAAUUGUAACCGAUAAACCUUAACAGGCUUAACGCCUGAGCACUUUCGGUUCCUUUAGAUAUCGAUUCAAACUUGAAUUUGGUGCUUGAAUACGAUUGCUUUUGGCUCGAAAUGUCUUUUGCAGGUUCAAAGCAAGGCGCCUUUACUGCAAUCGACUUAUUCUUUAGUCCACUUAGGCGAGCACUGGGCUGCGGCUAAGCCUCCGAGUGGAAGCCCGGCUUACCACUCGGUAGGAUUUCUAUAGCUUAGGCGAGCACUGGGCUGCAGCUAAGCCUCCGAGUGAGGGGUUUACUCUUCACUCGGUAGGAUUUUGAUAACUUAGGCUAGCACUGGGCUGCAGCUAAGCCUCCGAGUGAGAGGUUUGCUCUUCACUCGGUAGGAUUUUUAUAACUUAGGCGAGUGCUGGGACUGCAGCUAAGCCUCCGAGUGAGAGGGUUGCUCUUCACUCGGUAGGAUUUUUGUAACUUAGGCGAGUGCUUGGACUGCAGCUAAGCCCCCGAGUGAAAGUCUGGCUUACCACUCGGUAGGAUUUUGAAAACUUAGGCAAAACGGAUUCGCAGCUAAGCCUCCGAGUGGGAGUCUGGCUCACCACUCGGUAGGAUUUUUGUAACUUAGGCGAGUGCUUGGACUGCAGCUAAGCCCCCGAGUGAGAGGCUUGCUCUUCNNNNNNNNNNNNNNNNNNNNNNNNNNNNNNNNNNNNNNNNNNNNNNNNNNNNNNNNNNNNNNNNNNNNNNNNNNNNNNNNNNNNNNNNNNNNNNNNNNNNNNNNNNNNNNNNNNNNNNNNNNNNNNNNNNNNNNNNNNNNNNNNNNNNNNNNNNNNNNNNNNNNNNNNNNNNNNNNNNNNNNNNNNNNNNNNNNNNNNNNNNNNNNNNNNNNNNNNNNNNNNNNNNNNNNNNNNNNNNNNNNNNNNNNNNNNNNNNNNNNNNNNNNNNNNNNNNNNNNNNNNNNNNNNNNNNNNNNNNNNNNNNNNNNNNNNNNNNNNNNNNNNNNNNNNNNNNNNNNNNNNNNNNNNNNNNNNNNNNNNNNNNNNNNNNNNNNNNNNNNNNNNNNNNNNNNNNNNNNNNNNNNNNNNNNNNNNNNNNNNNNNNNNNNNNNNNNNNNNNNNNNNNNNNNNNNNNNNNNNNNNNNNNNNNNNNNNNNNNNNNNNNNNNNNNNNNNNNNNNNNNNNNNNNNNNNNNNNNNNNNNNNNNNNNNNNNNNNNNNNNNNNNNNNNNNNNNNNNNNNNNNNNNNNNNNNNNNNNNNNNNNNNNNNNNNNNNNNNNNNNNNNNNNNNNNNNNNNNNNNNNNNNNNNNNNNNNNNNNNNNNNNNNNNNNNNNNNNNNNNNNNNNNNNNNNNNNNNNNNNNNNNNNNNNNNNNNNNNNNNNNNNNNNNNNNNNNNNNNNNNNNNNNNNNNNNNNNNNNNNNNNNNNNNNNNNNNNNNNNNNNNNNNNNNNNNNNNNNNNNNNNNNNNNNNNNNNNNNNNNNNNNNNNNNNNNNNNNNNNNNNNNNNNNNNNNNNNNNNNNNNNNNNNNNNNNNNNNNNNNNNNNNNNNNNNNNNNNNNNNNNNNNNNNNNNNNNNNNNNNNNNNNNNNNNNNNNNNNNNNNNNNNNNNNNNNNNNNNNNNNNNNNNNUCACUCGGUAGGAUUUUUAUAACUUAGGCGAGUGCUUGGACUGCAGCUAAGCCUCCGAGUGAGAGGUUUGCUCUCCACUCGGUAGGAUUUUGACAAACUUAGGCGAGUCCUUGGACUGCAGCUAAGCCUCCGAGUGAGAGGUUUGCUCUUCACUCGGUAGGAUUUUUACAAACUUAGGCGAGUCCUUGGACUGCAGCUAAGCCUCCGAGUGAGAGGUUUGCUCUUCACUCGGUAGGAUUUUUUACAACUUAGGCGAGCACAGGGCUGCAGCUAAGCCCCCGAGUGGAAGUCUGGCUUACCGCUCGGUAGGAUUUUGAUAACUUAGGCGAAACGGAUUCGCAGCUAAGCCUCCGAGUGGGAGUCUGGCUCACCACUCGGUAGGAUUUUUACAAACUUAGGCGAAACGGAUUCGCGGCUAAGUCACCCACUGAGGGGGAAUUUUAUUGGACAAAAAUAAAGUGACAAAAAUUAUGGAGGAACUAUGACACUAUUAUUUUGAGGUCCAUGAACUACAGAAGUACUUUAUUGCAACUCAUCCGAGUGAUAAAACUUAAGUAUAAAAUGGGCGGAGUAGUUCCGCGUUCCAAGCUCGGGGCUCGUCGAUAUUAUGCUCGACGUUGUAAAGACGGUACGCCCUGUUGUGGAGAACCUUGGUGACGAUGAAGGGACCUUCCCAAGAAGGAGCAAGCUUGUGUGGUUUGUGCUGAUCCACUCGGAGAACUAAAUCCCCUUCCUGGAAGGCUCGACCUCUCACAUUUCUGGCGUGGAAACGACGCAAAUCUUGUUGGUAGAUGGUCGACCGGAUCAGAGCCAUCUCCCUUUCUUCCUCUAAAAGGUCGACUGCGUCCUGCCGCGCUUGUUCAGCCUCUGCUUCGUUGUAGAUUUCAACUCGAGGAGCAUUGUGGAGAAGAUCACUCGGCAAGACUGCUUCAGCUCCGUAGACCAAGAAGAAUGGAGUUCUUCCGGUCGACCGAUUAGGUGUGGUCCGCAACCCCCAAAGCACUGAGGGAAGUUCGUCGACCCAAGCUCCAGCUGCGUGUUUGAGAUCACGCAUUAGUCGGGGCUUCAAUCCCUUAAGAAUCAGUCCAUUAGCUCGCUCUGCUUGUCCAUUCGACUGCGGAUGGGCGACUGAAGCGUAGUCGACCCGUGUGCCUUGGGAGUUACAGAAAUCUCUGAAUUCCUCCGAGUCAAAGUUCGACCCAUUAUCCGUAAUGAGGCUGUGCGGGACUCCAUAUCUGAAUAUUAGUUCCCUGAUGAAGCUAACAGCAGUACCGGUGUCAAGGUUCUUGAUUGGUUUAGCCUCGAUCCACUUGGUGAACUUGUCGACUGCCACCAGUACAUGCGUGAAGCCGCUUCGUCCUGUUCUCAAAGGACCGACCAUGUCCAAUCCCCAUACUGCGAAAGGACAGACGAGUGGGAUGGUCUUCAGAGCCGAUGCAGGCUUGUGCGACAUAUUCGAGUAGAACUGACAUCCCUCGCACUUAUCCACUAUCUCUUUUGCCAUCUCAUUCGCCUUUGGCCAGUAAAAUCCGGCUCGGUAUGCUUUGGCCACGAUGGUCCGAGAGGACGCAUGAUGACCACAGGUUCCCGAGUGGAUAUCAUUGAUGAUGAGUCGACCUUCUUCUGGUGUUAUGCACUUCUGACCAACUCCAGUCGCGCUUUCUCUGUAUAAUUGUCCUUUGAUUACGGUAAAGGCCUUAGAUCGACGGACGAUCUGUCGAGCCUCUUCCUCAUCCUCCGGAAGCUCUUUUCUCAGGAUAUACGCGACAUAUGGAACUGUCCAGUCGGGAAUGACCACCAAGACCUCCAUGAUCAAGUCGACCACCACUGAGACUUCAACCUCAGUCGGAUCUGUGGCACUCUUGGGCUGUGGAGUUUCUUCGGUGAAAGGAUCUUCUUUGACUGACGGAGUGUGUAUAUGCUCCAAGAACACACCACUCGGAAUGGCUUCUCUCUUGGAACCUAUCUUUGCUAGAUCAUCAGCUGCUUGAUUUUUCAGUCGGGGUAUAUGAUGGAGCUCCAACCCCUCGAACUUCUUUUCCAGCUUCCUCACUACACUGCAGUAUCCAGUCAUGGCUGGGCUUCUUACGUCCCACUCCUUCAUCACCUGGUUGACCACUAAAUCCGAGUCGCCAUAGACCAUCAGGCGACGGACACCGAGUGAAAUGGCCAUGCACAACCCAUAUAAGAGGGCCUCAUAUUCUGCCUCAUUGUUGGAGGAAUCAAAGUGUAUCUGGAGCACAUAUCUGAGCUUAUCUCCUCUGGGGGAAACCAGGACAACCCCAGCACCGGAACCAUUCAACAUCUUAGAACCAUCAAAGAACAUGGUCCAAUGCUCCGAGUGAACUUCAGUCGGCUGCUGCUGUUCAAUCCACUCGGCGAGGAAAUCUGCUAUUGCCUGGGACUUAAUGGCUUUCUUUGCCUCAAACUUGAUAUCAAGGGGAAGAAGUUCAAUCGCCCAUUUGGCCACUCGACCAGUUGCAUCUCUGUUGUGCAAAAUCUCUGAUAGUGGAGCGUCGCUGACGACUGUGAUGGAAUGAUCAGAAAAAUAAUGAGCAACCUUCUUUGUGGUCAUGUAUAUUCCAUACACAAGCUUCUGAUAAUGAGGAUAUCUCUGCUUGGAUGGAGUCAAGACUUCAGACAAAUAAUACACUGGGCGCUGAACUUUGAGAGCUUUUCCUUCUUCUUCCCGCUCGACCGUAAGCACAGUACUGACGACUUGUCCUGUGGCUGCGAUAUAGAGCAACAGAGGCUCUUUGCUGAUUGGAGCAGCAAGCACCGGCUGGGUGGAGAGCAGAGCUUUUAGCUCGGCAAACGCUGCAUCAGCUUCUGGAGUCCACUCGAACUUGUCUGUCUUCUUCAUCAGUCGGUAAAGAAGCAAUGCCUUUUCACCGAGUCGUGAGAUGAAUCGACUUAAUGCGGCCAAGCAUCCAGUAAGCUUCUGGACAUCGUGCACUCGCACAGGGCGUUUCAUUCGGAGAAUAGUGCCAAUCUUCUCUGGAUUAGCGAUUCCCCGUUCGAAAACGAGAAAACCGAGUAACUUGCCACCAGGAACUCCAAAUGUGCACUUUGAUGGAUUGAGCUUGAUAUCAUAUCUUCUGAGGUUGGCAAAUGUUUCGGCGAGAUCAGCGAGCAGGUCGGAACCUUUUCGUGACUUGACAACGAUAUCAUCCAUAUAUGCUUCCACAUUCCGACUGAUUUGAGUGAGUAGACACUUCUGAAUCAUUCGCAUAAAUGUGGCUCCGGCAUUCUUGAGGCCGAAUGGCAUGGUGAUAUAGCAGAAGCACCCAAAUGGAGUGAUGAAAGCUGUUUUUACCUCGUCGGGUCCGUACAGACGGAUCUGGUGGUACCCGGAGUAGGCAUCUAGAAAAGACAAUCUCUCGCAUCCCGCGGUCGAGUCAACAAUUUGAUCUAUGCGAGGGAGAGGAAAAUGAUCUUUCGGGCAGGCCCGGUUGAUGUGUUUGAAAUCAAUGCACAUUCGGAGUGAUUUAUCCUUCUUAGGAACCAUGACGACAUUAGCGAGCCACUCGGAGUGGUAUAUCUCUCGGAUAAAUUCUGCCGCCAAUAGUCGAGCCACUUCCUCACCAAUGGCUUUUCUCUUCUGGACGGCGGACCGCCGAAGAUGCUCUUUGACUGGUUUUGCAGAUGAGUCGACUCUUAGGCGAUGCUCAGCCAGUCCCCUGGGAACACCUGGCAUGUCAGCGGGCUUCCAUGCAAAAAUGUCCCAGUUCUCACGGAGGAACUGGAUGAGCGCUUCUUCCUAUUUUGGGUCGAGUGUUGUGGAGAUGCGGGUCGGAGCUGCAUCGGGGUCGGUCGGGUGAAUGUGAACAGGCUUCGUCUCACCGGACGACUGAAAUGCAGACUCUGUGGCGGGUUUCUUGGAUCGCAGCAAGUCACUCGGAUCUGCGUUUUGCUUGUACUCCUCGAACUCGACCGCUGUCACCUGGGAAUCGGCAAUCUUUGAGCCCUUCUGAAAGCACUCUUCUGCCUUUUUCCGAUCACUGGUGACAGUGAUCACUCCUUUGGGGCCGGGCAUCUUCAAUUUGAGGCACUCUGAAAAUCCACGACCUCAAACGUCAACUUUUCUUUGCGAAAAUGUUUCGAAUCACCAAACACCACGUCAAUUCUAUUUGGCCGAGUGACUCGGCUUUCUUCCCUGGUAUAACUCCAUGAAAGCUCAUGUUACUAGUGCUCAGUCGGGACAUCGGAAUGCCCAUUCCUUUUAGUGUGUCUGCAUACAAUAAAUUCAGCCCGCUUCCACCGUCCAUCAGUACUUUUGUCAGUCGAGUGCCUUCGACAACUGGAUCGACCACCAAAACUUGCCUCCCAGGGGUGGCAAUAUGAGUCGGGUGAUCAGAUUGGUCGAAUGUGAUGGGUAUUUGAGACCAUUUCAGAUAAUUUGCUUUUGCUGGGGCAACCAUGUUCACCUCUCGGUUAAUGACUUUCAAUCGACUCUUGCUUUCCACAUCUGCAAAGAUCAUCAGAGUGGAGUUGAUAUGCGGAUAUCCUCCCUCACUGUCCUCCUUGUCUUCGGCCUUGUCCGACUCCUUCUCCUUGUCCUUAGACUGUUUUCCCUGAAACUGUUGGAUCAGGAGUCGACAUUGGCGAGUGGUAUGCUUCGGGUAGAUGAUAUUCCCCUCUUCGUCUUUCUUCGUGUGGAUGUGACAUGGCAUAUCCAUUACGUCGUUCUCUUCUUUAUACUUUACCUUCUUGGGGUUCCAGGAUCCUUUUGGUUUCCCCUUAAACUUUCCCUGAGUCACGGCCAGAGCCUCUCCAGGGGCUGCCGGUUCAGCCUUCCGCUUCUGUUUCCGACUGGUGUUUCCUUUUUCCGACUGACUCGGCUUGUGCUUGCCGCUUCGGAGUCGGUCUUCUUCUUCGCUGUUGGCGUACUUGGUAGCAAUCUCCAUCAUCCGACUCAAGGUCAUGUCACCGGUUCGACCAAACUUCAAACUCAGUUCUCUGUUCUUGACGCCAUCUUUGAAGGCGCAGACUGCCUGAUGAUCAGACACAUUCUCCACAGUGUGGUGCAAAGUGAUCCAUCUCUGAAUAUACUCUCUGAGAGUCUCAUUGGUCUUCUGCACGCAGACUUGCAACUCUGUCAGUCCAGCUGGUCGCUUGCAAGUUCCUUCAAACGUUCUGAUGAACACUCGGGACAAAUCUUCCCAAGUGUAAAUGCUGCUAGGCGGUAAUUGAGUUAACCAUGCCCUGGCAGAACCUUCCAGCAUGAGGGGCAAAUGCUUCAUGGCCACCUCGUCGUUCCCACCACCAAUCUAAACUGCCACUCGGUAGUCCUCAAGCCAAGUUUCAGGCUUAGACUCACCAGUGAACUUGCUGACUCCUGUUGCCAACCUGAAAUUGGGAGGGAUAACUGCAGCUCUGAUAGCUCUGCUGAAACAUUCAGGACCAGAAACAUGCACUCGACUGCUUGUGGGCGCGUCUCUGUCGAGUCCGCCUCGAUGGGCUCUGUUCCGGUCGACCAAACCUUGCACGAUAAUGGAUCGCGCAUCGAAGCCUAGUUCUCUGGGGUCGACUGGAACCCUUCGCCCUGUACUGUACCGACGCCUGUCAUCUUGCUGCCGAGGAGCGUAAGACCCACCCCUCGGAGGGGAAUUGGGCACUCGACGCCUAUCAUCUCGGUCGAGUCGGUCGCCAUAUUGAUCUCGCCAAUUCUCGCACCCUUCACGCCGUAGAGGUGAUCUGGGGCUGUGAGCCGACUGAACCGUAUUCGCAGUGACGGAUCGACUGUGAAUUCUGUUGCGCGACUGAGACACGGCUGAAUUCUGAUCUCCUGCUGCCCGGAGCAGAUCCUUGAUCUGCAUCAAACCUCUGCCAGCUUCCGACUGAGAAGGCUGGAUGGACUCUGCUAUACGGGUCGCAGCUGCUAAAUUCUGGACUGGGGUUCGAUAUAUACCUGAGUCGGCGGGAAGAGUUGACGUCGACUGGUGUCGGGAACUCGUUGCCGCGCGCUCUCGUCGAGUGCUCGCUGAAGAUUCUCCAGUCGAGUGCGUUCGGCCAAAUUGGCCAGACGUGCCUCCUCCAAGGCACGAGCCUCGGGGGUUUCUCCUGCGAUGGGAGUACGCAGAGCAUCCACGUUCCUGCGGCGAAGUUCCUCUCUUUGCAGAGAGUCGAGUGGCUCGGGCUGGUACUCUUCGUGGCCUCGUGCGGGGUCGCCUCCGUCACCUGCUCCACCAUCACGGGUGAAGCCAGGGGGACUGCGGGGCCCGUCGACCAUCAAGAUUUCCGCCGCUGGAUCACUGCUACCGCACUCGGAUGCCGUCUCUACGGAGCCAGUCGACAGAUCGAACAAGCCAUAGAGAGAUUCGUCGGGCUCGAUUGCCGCAACUUGGGUGGUGGCCGAUUGGCGAGCCACCGCGUGCCUCACCCAUCGCUGAAGCCUCGACCGGCCCGAGCGCUUGCGCUGGCGGGAGACCGGGAGGGUGGACGAUGGAGGAGCCGACCGAUACGGGGUCGACGGUUGCCGCAGCAGAACGCCGCGGACACAUGCGCGAAAAUGCGUCGCACCGCGGACGGGGAGCGCAUCAACGUCGAGUGGAGCCUCCUGGAGCCACGCGGAGUCGUCGGCGAUGAAGGUGAGAGAGCCGAGAUGGAUCUCUCGACCCUCGACCAAAACUCCAGCAGACACCAUGAUGAAAGUACUCGGAAGAAUCGCAACUUCUCCACAAAAUCGCUAAAACACCCGCCCCAAGGUGGGCGCCAACUGUCGUGGUUCUAAGCCUGACAGUAGAGUGGGGGGUAGGUAUGGAGAGGCAAGGUCCUAGCUAUGGAGAGGUUGUAAACAUCAGGGAUGUACGAGUUCAGGCCCUUCUCGGAAGAAGUAAUAGCCCUACGUCUCGGAGCCCGGAGGCGGUCGAGUGGAUUAUGAGUAUAUGAGUUACAAGGUGCCGAACCCCUCUACCUGUGGAGGGGGGUGGCUUAUAUAGAGUGCGCCAGGACCCCAGCCAGCCCACGUAGGAGAGGAUGUAAGGUGAGUUAAGUCCGGGGCGUUACUGGUAACGCCCCACAUAAAGUGUCUUUACUAUCAUAAAGCCUACUUAAUUACAGGCCGUUGCAGUGCAGAGUGCCUCUUGACCUUCUGGUGGUCGAGUGAGUCUUCAUGGUCGAGUCCUUCAAGUCAGUCGAGUGAGUCCCUCGUUGGUCGACUGGAAGGCGACCUCUUCUAAGGGUGUCCUUGGGCAAGGUACUUAGAUCAGGUUCAUGACCCUACCCUAGGUACAUGACCCCAUCAGGUGGUACUAUCAUUACUAUCUUAUAUCUUUUGGCAUGAACAUGUGUAUCACUACGAUCGAGAUUCAAUAAACCAUUCAUUUUAGGUGUAAGACCAUUGAAGGUAUUAUUCAAAUAAACAGAGUAACCAUUAUUCUCCUUAAAUGAAUAACCGUAUUGCGAUAGACAUAAUCCAAUCAUGUCUAUGCUCAAUGCAAACACCAAUCUCGAUGGUAGAGGAAGCGUACGAUAUUUGAUCAACCUUGGAAAUAGUUCCAACACAUAUCGCCAUCUCACCUUUAGCUAGUCUCCGUUUAUUCCGUAGCUUUUAUUUCGAGUUACUAACACUUAGCAACCGAACCGGUAUCUAAUACCCUGGUGCUACUAGGAGUACUAGUAAAGUACACAUUAACAUAAUGUAUAUCCAAUAUACUUCUAUUGACCUUGCCAGCCUUCUUAUCUACCAAGUAUCUAGGGUAAUUCUGCUCCAGUGGCUGUUCCCUUUAUUACAGAAGCACUUAGUCUCGGGUUUGGGUUCAACCUUGGGUUUCUUCACUAGAGCAGCAGCUGAUUUGCCGUUUCAUGAAGCAUCCCUUUUUUGCCCUUGCCCUUCUUGAAACUAGUGGUUUCACCAACCAUCAACAAUUGAUGCUCCUUCUUGAUUUCUACUUUUGUGGUGUCAAACAUCGCGAAUAUCUCAAGGAUCAUCAUAUAUGUCCCUGAUAUAUUAUAGUUCAUCACGAAGCUCUAGCAGCUUGGUGGUAAUGACUUCGGAGAAACAUCACUACCUCAUCUGGAAGAUCAACUCCUACUUGAUUCAAAUGAUUGUUGUACUCAGACAAUCUGAGCACAAGCUCAACAAUUGAGCUUUUCUCCCUUAGUUUGCAGGCUAAGAAAAUUGUCAGAGGUCUUAUACCUCUUGACACGGGCACGAGCCUGAAAUCCCAAUUUCAGCCCUCGAAACAUCUCAUAUGCUUCGCGACGUUUCAAAAACAUCUUCGGUGCCUCAACUCUAAACCGUUUAACUGAACUAUCACAUAGUUAUCAAAAUGUGUAUGUCAGAUGUUCGCAACAUCCACAGAUGAUGUUUGAGGUUCAGCACACUGAGCGGUGCAUUAAGAACAUAAGCCUUCUAUGAAGCAAUGAGGACAAUCCUCAGUUUACGGACCUAGUCCGCAUAAUUGCUACUAUCAACUUUCAACUAAAUUUUCUCUAGGAACAUAUCUAAACAGUAGAACUAAAGCGCGAGCUUCGACAUAAUUUGCGAAGACCUUUUGACUUUGUUCAGGAUAAUUUAAGUUCAUCUUAUGAACUCCCACUCAGAUAGACAUCCCUCUAGUCAUCUAAGUGAUUACAUGAUCCGAGUCAACUAGGCCGUGUCCGAUCAUCACGUGAGACGGACUAGUCAUCAUCGGUGAACAUCUUCAUGUUGAUCGUAUCUACCAUAUGACUCAUGCUCGACCUUUCGGUCUCUUGUGUUCCGAGGCCAUGUCUGUACAUGCUAGGCUCGUCAAGUCAACCUAAGUGUUUCGCGUGUGUAAAUUUCGCUUACACCCGUUGUAUGUGAACGUAAGAAUCUAUCACACCCGAUCAUCAUGUGGUGCUUUGAAACGACGAACUUUCGCAACGGUGCUUAGUUAGGGGGAACACUUUCUUGAAAUUUUAAUGAGGGGUCAUCUUAUUUACUACCGUCAUUCUAAGCAAAUAAGAUGUAUAAACAUGAUAAACAUCACAUGCAAUCAAAUAGUGACAUGAUAUGGCCAAUAUCAUAUUGCUCCUUUUGAUCUCCAUCUUCGGGGCUCCAUGAUCAUCAUCGUCACCGGCAUGUGACCAUGAUCUCCAUCAUCAUGAUCUCCAUCAUCAUGAUCUCCAUCAUCGUGAUCUCCAUCAUCGUGUAUUCAUGAAGUUGUCUCGCCAACUAUUACUUCUACUACUAUAGCUAACGGUUAGCAAUAAAGUAAAGUAAUUACAUGACGUUUAUGUUGACACGCAGGUCAUAAAUAAAUUAAGACAACUCCUAUGGCUCCUGCCGGUUGUCAUACUCAUCGACAUGCAAGUCGUGAUUCCUAUUACAAGAACAUGAUCAUCUCAUACAUCACAUAUAUCAUUCAUCACAUCCUUUGGCCAUAUCACAUCACAUAGCAUACCCUGCAAAAACAAGUUGGACGUCCUCUAGUUGUUGUUUGCAUGUUUUACGUGGCUGCUAUGGGUUUCUAGCAAGAACGUUUCUUACCUACGCAAAACCACAACGUGAUAUGACAAUUGCUAUUUACCCUUCAUAAGGACCCUUUUCAUCGAAUCCGUUCCGACUAAAGUGGGAGAGACAGACACCCGCUAGCCACCUUAUGCAACUAGUGCAUGUCAGUCGGUGGAACCAGUCUCAUGUAAGAGUACGUGUAAGGUCGGUCUGGGCCGCUUCAUCCCACAAUACCGUCGAAACAAGAUUGGACUAGUAACGGUAAGCAUAUUGAACAAAAUCAACGCCCACAACUACUUUGUGUUCUACUCGUGCAUAGAAUCUACGCAAUAGACCUAGCUCAUGAUGCCACUGUUGGAGAACGUAGCAGAAAUUCAAAAUUUUCCUACGUGUCACCAAGAUCUAUCUAUGGAGAAACCAGCAACGAGGGGAAGGAGAGUGCAUCUACAUACCCUUGUAGAUCGCUAUGCGGAAGCGUUCAAGAGAAUGGGGUUGAAGGAGUCGUACUCGUCGUGAUCCAAAUCACCGAAGAUCCUAGUGCCGAACGGACGGCACCUCCGCGUUCAACACACGUACAGCCCGGUGACGUCUCCUACGCCUUGAUCCAGCAAGGGGUGAAGGAGAGGUUGGGAAAGACUCCAUCCAGCAGCAGCACGACGACAUGGUGGUGAAGGAGGAGCGUGGCAAUCCUGCAGGGCUUCGCCAAGCACCACGGGAGAAGAGGAGGACUUGGGAGAGGGGAGGGGCUGCGCCAAGACUUGGGUGCGGCUGCCCUCCCACCCCCACACAUAUAUAUAGGGGCAAGGGAGAGGGGGCCGGCCCCCUCAGAUCCAAUCUGAGGAGGGGGCGGCGGCCAAGGGGGGUUGCCUUGCCCCCCAAGGCAAGGGGGGCGCCCCCCCCUUUAGGGUUCCCCCAAACCCUAGGCGCAUGGGCCCUAAGGGGGGAGGUGCCCAGCCCACUAAGGGGCUGGUCCCUCUCCACAUACAGCCCAUAGGGCCGUCCGACGCAGGUGGACCCUCCAGGUGGACCCCCGUAACCCCUCCGGUGGUCCCGGUACAAUACCGAUAACCCCGAAUUAUUCCGGUGACCGUAUGAUGACUUCCCAUAUAUAAAUCUUUACCUCCGGACCAUUCCGGAACUCCUCAUGACAUCCGGGAUCUCAUCCGGGACUCCAAACAACAUUCGGUAACCACGUAUAUCUAUUCCCUAUAACCCUAGCGUCAUCGAACCUUAAGUGUGUAGACCCUACGGGUUCGGGAAACAUGCAGACAUGACCGAGACACCUCUCCGGUCAAUAACCAACAGCGGGAUCUGGAUACCCAUGUUGGCUCCCACAUGCUCCACGAUGAUCUCGCCGGAUGAACCACGAUGUCAAGGACUUAAUCAAUCCCGUAUACAAUUCCCUUUGUCUAGCGGUACGAUACUUGCCCGAGAUUCGAUCGUCGGUAUCCCAAUACCUUGUUCAAUCUCGUUACUGGCAAGUCUCUUUUACUCGUUCCGUAACACAUCAUCCCGUGAUCAACUCCUUGAUCACAUUGUGCACAUUAUGAUGAUGUCCUACCGAGUGGCCCAGAGAUACCUCUCUGUCACACGGAGUGACAAAUCCCAGUCUCCAUUCGUGCCAACCCAACAGACACUUUAGGAGAUACCUGUAGUGUACCUUUAUAGCCACCCAGUUACGUUGUGACGUUUGGCACACCCAAAGCACUCCUACGGUAUUCGGGAGUUGCACAAUCUCAUGGUCUAAGGAAAUGAUACUUGACAUUAGAAAAGCUUUAGCAUACGAACUACACGAUCUUUGUGCUAGGCUUAGGAUUGGGUCUUGUCCAUCACAUCAUUCUCCCAAUGAUGUGAUCCCGUUAUCAACGACAUCCAAUGUCCAUGGUCAGGAAACCGUAACCAUCUAUUGAUCAACGAGCUAGUCAACUAGAGGCUUACUAGGGACAUGGUGUUGUCUAUGCAUCCACACAUGUAUCUGAGUUUCCUAUCAAUACAAUUCUAGCAUGGAUAAUAAACGAUUAUCAUGAACAAGGAAAUAUAAUAAUAACUAAUUUAUUAUUGCCUCUAGGGUAUAUUUCCAACAUUGCAUUCCCCUCUCUUGUUGAGAAAUACACAAUUUAUGGAGGACCACAAUCUAUAUUGGCCCUCUAAGCUUUUCGCCCAUUUUGGCAAUCGAUGCCAAUGGGGGAGAAGUUUCAGAGAGUUUUGUGGAGAAGCUUUGGUUUAUGUUUCCUUAGCUUUUGCAUCUCAUUCGCAUGCAUUAUUGGUUGUUGCAGUGCAUGGUGAUGCAUAAUUCCUUGUAUAAACUCUCUUGAAAGUGAUUGUCAUCAAUUACCAAAAUGGGGGAGAUUGAAAGAACAUGCGGUGCCCCCAUGUUUGGUUUUGGUAAUUUAUGACAAUCUCUAUGGACUAAUGGUUGCCUUCAGUUAUAUUUGAAGGUUUUGUCCAUAGGCUUUUCUUGGAGUACAUGUGUUGGUUUCAAGGAGAGUUUGUGUUGACCAAUGUGCUAUUAAGGAAUUAUCCAAAGCUUGGUCAUGUGAGAGUUGAGCUUAUUGCAAGCAUGUCUUUAAGAAGAAGAUUGUGUGAUUAGAGUACAUGUGUUGGUUUCAAGGAGAGUUUGUGUUGGCCAAGGUGCUAUUAAGGAAUUAUCCAAAGCUUGGUCAUGUGAGAGUUGAGCUUAUUGCAAGCAUGUCUUGAAGAAGAAGAUUGUGUGAUCAUUCAUGUUUACCUUCAAGACAUCAUCCAAAUGAAGAGAGUUGGAAAGAUUCAAGGUUGAUCAAGACUAAGUCAAGAGUGAAUCAAGUUGAUCAACUCACAAAGCGUAGACGAUGUACCGAGAGGGAUCAAGUGAUCCCAUGGUUUGGUAAGCAUUGUCCAUUGUGUUUUGUGUACUAACCCAUGGUCUAUGUGAGAGUUCUACGUGGGGUUAGGUACGUGUUCAUGGGCUUGUGUCAAGAGGAAGAUAUCACUCAACCCAUGGAGAGGAUGACAUCAAGUGGUGAUCGUCAUCAAGAUUGCCGUGUGCAAGUUCAAGUGGACCAUCGUGAAGAGAUCAAGUGCUUGAAGCUUGCCGUCCAUUGUGGUGACAAUGGACUUGUGAAGAUGUGCCGAAGAGUGGCUCAUCCAUAGUGGACUAUGGGGGAGCAAUCAUCUAGUCUUCAUCGAGCCAACGCAAUCAAGAAAGGUGGUCCAACUUGAGGGAGUCAAGAUCGUCAUCAUCUAACUUAAGUGGACCAUGUGCAAGGCAAAGAUUUGCCCUUGAUAGGUUUUCUAUUUUACCGGUCUCAUGGUGGUAGUUUGGAGACCGGGUUAUAGGAUCGUUUGCCGUACUAUCAAUAGGGGCUCUCAAGUUGGUAGCUUGAUCGUAUCGUUAGUAGAGAGCUCAAACCAUUGCAUCCUUGCAUCAUAUUUCUUGGUUAUUGUUUGGUUCUCUUUGUGAGUCUUAGAGCUUAUGGUCAUCUUGAUGACAAGCUUGAGUUCAUCGAAAACGGAGUUCGCAUGCAUCUUCUAUGAUGUUUUCAGUGUUGGAGGUUUUACCGGUCUUUUCCGAGGAAGGGUUCUCACCAUUUUCUUAUCGGCCUUUUCUCAUUUGCUUCUUAUUGACAUUUCUUUGAAGAUUGUGUUAGCCCUUGUCGCUAGCUUUCUAACAAACUUGGUUUCAUCGAAUUCGGAGUCCGUUUGCAAAAGUUGUGGCAGUUUUGGUGUUCUGAAAAGGCUGCAGCGGUACUACCGCGAAUUGGAGCGGAUGUAAUUUUUUACUACCGCUCCAGAGCAGUACUACCGCGGCUCCUACAGCGGUAGUACCGCUCCGGUCCAAAAACUCGUCCCAAGUCUUGCGGUGGUAGGCCUGGAUGUAUUUUUUUAGUACCGCUUGCAAAGCAGUAGUACCGCUACCAUUUGCGGUAGUACCGUGAGGUCGAGCGGUAGUACCGUGAGGACGAGCGGUAGUACCGCUCCGGCGGUUCUUCUGGCCUUUUUCCUCCUCGCUGUUGUUUUUCAAAGGGGUACUUCCGCCCUAGCGGUAGUACCGCUCUGUGCGGGCUGUGAGCAUAACGGUUGGAUUUUUCCCCACCUAUAAAAGGGGGUCUUCUUCCCCAAUGAACCUUAUCCUUUGAGCUCAUGUUCUUCCCCCAUUGUUGACCUUCUUCGAGCUUGCUAACUCUCAAUCCCUCCAUGAUUUUUGCUAGUUCUUGAGGGAAAAGAGGGAGGAAAUCUAGAUCCACAUUUCCACCAAUCACUUUCUCCUCUAAGUGAGGGGAACCCCUUGGAUCUAGAUCUUGGAGUUCUUGGUGUUCUCCUUCUUGUUCUUCCUCUCAUUUUCCUCCCUAGCAUUAGUUGCUUCGGUGGGAUUUGAGAGAGAAGGACUUGGGCACUCCGUGUGCCCUUGCCAUUGCAUUUGGUGCAUCGGUUUGAGUUCUCCACGGUGAUACGUGGAAGUGAAGUUUGAGAAGCUUAUUACUCUUGGGUGUUUGGGCACCCUAGAGCUUGUUCCUCUUGGGUGCCUUGGCGCCCUAGACGGUUGGUGGUGUUCGGAGCUCAAUCAUUGUGGUGUAAAGCUCCGGGUGAUGGGGUUAUGUACCUAGGGUAGGGUCAUGGACCUGAUCUAAGUACCUUACCCAAGGACACCCUUAGAAGAAGUCGCCUUCCAGUCGACCAACGAGGGACACACUCGACUGACUUGAAGGACUCGACCACGAAGACUCACUCGACCACCAGAAGGUCAAGAGGCACUCUGCACUGCAACGACCUGUAAUCAAGUAGACUUUAUGAUAGUAAAGGCACUUUAUGUGGGGCGUUACCAGUAACGCCCCAGACUUAACUCACCUUAAACCCUCUCCUACGUGGGCUGGCUGGGGUCCUGGCGCACUCUAUAUAAGCCACCCCCCUCCACAGGCAGAAGGGUUCGGCACCUUGUAACUCAUAUACUCAUAAUCCACUCGACCGCCUCCGGGCUCCGAGACGUAGGGCUGUUACUUCCUCCGAGAAGGGCCUGAACUCGUACAUCCUUUGUGCUUACAACCUCUCCAUAGCUAGGACCUUGCCUCUCAAUACCUACCCCCCACUCUACUGUGAGGCUUAGAACCACGACAGUUGGCGCCCACCGUGGGGCAGGUGUUCUAGCGAUUUUGUGGAGAAGUUGCGAUUCUUCCGAGUACUUUCAUCAUGGUGUCUGCUGGAGUUUUGGUCGGGGGUCAAGAGAUCCGUCUCGGCACUCUCACCUUCAUCGCCGACGACUCCGCAUGGCUCCAGGAGGCUCCACUCGACGUAGAUGCGCUCCCCGUCCGCGGUGCGACGCAUUUUCGCGCAUGUGUCCGCGGCGUUCUGCUGCGGCAACCGUCGACCAAGUAUCGGUCGGCUCCUCUAUCGUCCACCCUCCCGGUCUCCCGCCAGCGCAAGCGCUCAGGCCGGUCGAGGCUUCAGCGAUGGGUGAGGCACGCGGUGGCUCGCCAGUCGGCCACCACCCAAGUUGCGGCAAUCGAGCCCAACGAAUCUCUCUACGGCUUGUUCGAUCAGUCGACUGGCUCCGUAGAGACUGCAUCCGAGUGCGAUAGCAGUGAUCCAGCAGCAGAAAUCUUGAUGGUCGAUGGGCCCCGCGGUCCCCCUGGCUUCGCCCAUGAUGGUGGAGCAGGUGACGGAGACGAUCCCGCACGAGGCUACGAAGAGUACCAGCCCGAGCCACUCGACUCUCUGCAAAGAGAGGAACUUCGCCGCAGGAACGAGGAUCCCCUGCGUAUUCCCAUCGCAGGAGAAACCCCCGAGGCUCGUGCCUUGGAGGAGGCGCGUCUGGCCAAUUUGGCCGAGCGCACUCGACUGGAGAAUCUUCAGCGGGCACUCGACGAGCGCGCGCGGCAACGAGUCCCCGACACCAGUCGACGUCAACUCUUCCCGCCGACUCAGGUAUAUCGAACCCCAAUUCAGAAUUUAGCAGCUGCGACCCAUAUAGCAGAGUCCAUCCAGCCUUCACAGUCGGAAGCUGGCAGAGGUUUGCUGCAGAUCAGGGAUCUACUCCGGGCAGCAGGAGAUCAGAAUUCAGCUGUGUCUCAGUCGCGCAACAGAAUUCACAGUCGAUCCGUCACUGUGAAUACGGUUCAGUCGGCGCACAGCCCCAGAUCGCCUCCGCGGCGCGAAGGGCGCGGGAAUCGGCGAGAUCAAUAUGACGACAGACUCGACCGAGAUGACAGGCGUCGAGUGCCCUAUUCCCCUCCGAGGGGUGGGUCUUACGCUCCUCGGCAGCCAGAUGAUAGGCGUCAGUACAGUACAGGGCGUAGGGUUCCAGUCGAACCCAGAGAACCAGGCUUCGACGCGCGAUCCAUUAUCGUGCAAGGGUUGGUCGAUCGGAACAGAGCCCAUCGAGGUGCACUCGACAGAGAUGUACCCACAAGCAGUCGAGUGCAUGUUUCUGGCCCUGAAUGUUUCAGCAGGACUAUCAGAGCUGCAGUUAUCCCUCCCAAUUUCAGGUUGGCAACAAGAGUCAGCAAGUUCACUGGUGAGUCAAAGCCUGAAACUUCGCUCGAAGACUACCGAGUGGCAGUUCAGAUUGGUGGUGGGAACGACGAAGUGGCCAUGAAGCACUUGCCCCUCAUGCUGGAAGGUUCUGCCAGGGCAUGGUUGACUCAAUUACCUCCUAGCAGCAUUUACACUUGGGAAGAUCUGUCCCGAGUGUUCAUCAGAACGUUUGAAGGAACUUGCAAGCGACCAGCUGGAUUGACAGAGUUGCAAGUCUGCGUGCAGAAAACUAAUGAGACUCUCAGAGAGUAUAUUCAGAGGUGGAUCACUUUGCACCACACUGUGGAGAAUGUGUCUGAUCAUCAGGCAGUCUGCGCCUUCAAAGAUGGUGUCAAGAACAGAGAACUGAGUUUGAAGUUUGGUCGAACCGGUGACAUGACCUUGAGUCGGAUGAUGGAGAUUGCUACCAAGUACGCCAACGGCGAAGAAGAAGACCGACUCCGAAGCGGCAAGCACAAGCCGAGUCAGUCGGAAAAAGGAAACACCAGUCGGAAACAGAAGCGGAAGGCCGAACCGGCAGCUCCUGGAGAGGCUCUGGCCGUGACUCAAGGAAAGUUUAAGGGUAAACCAAAAGGAUCCUGGAACCCCAAGAAGGUAAAGGAUAAAGAAGGGAACGACGUGAUGGAUAUGCCAUGUCACAUUCACACGAAGAAAGACGAAGAGGGGAAUAUCAUUUACCCGAAGCACACCACUCGCCAAUGUCGACUCCUGAUCCAGCAGUUUCAGGGAAAACAGUCUAAGGACAAGGAGAAGGAGUCGGACAAGGCCGAAGACAAGGAGGACAGUGAGGAAGGAUAUCCGCAUAUCAACUCCACUCUGAUGAUCUUUGCAGAUGUGGAAAGCAGAAGUCGACUGAAAGUGAUUAACCGAGAGGUGAACAUGGUUGCCCCCGCAAAAGCAAAUUAUCUGAAGUGGUCUCAAACACCCAUCACAUUCGACCAAUCUGAUCACCCGACUCAUAUUGCCACCCCUGGGAGGCAAGCUUUGGUGGUCGAUCCAGUUGUCGAAGGCACUCGACUGACAAAGGUGCUGAUGGAUGGUGGAAGUGGGCUGAACUUAUUGUAUGCAGACCCAUUGAAAGGUAUGGGCAUUCCGAUGUCCCGACUGAGCACUAGUAACAUGAGCUUUCAUGGAGUUAUACCAGGGAAGAAGGCCGAGUCACUCGGCCAGAUAGCUUUGGACGUGGUGUUUGGCGAUUCAAAGCAUUUUCGCAAAGAAAAGUUGACGUUUGAGGUCGUGGAUUUUCAAAGUGCAUAUCAUGCCAUUUUGGGGAGACCAGCUUACGCGCGGUUCAUGGCUCGACCAUGCUAUGUGUACCUCAAAUUGAAGAUGCCCGGUCCCAAAGGAGUGAUCACUAUCACCGGUGAUAGGAAAAAGGCAGAAGAGUGCUUUCAGAAGGGCUCCAAGAUUGCCGAUUCCCAGGUGACGGCAGUCGAGUUUGAAGAAUACAAGCAAAACGCAGAUCCGAGUGACUUGCUGCGAUCCAAGAAGCCCGCCACAGAGUCUGCAUUCCAGUCGUCCGGUGAGACGAAGCCUGUUCACAUUCACCCGACCGACCCCGAAGCAGCUCCGACCCGCAUCUCCACGACACUCGAUCCAAAAUAGGAAGAAGCGCUCAUCCAGUUCCUCCGUGAGAACUGGGACAUUUUUGCAUGGAAGCCCGCUGACAUGCCAGGUGUUCCCAGGGGACUGGCUGAGCAUCGCCUAAGAGUCGACUCAUCUGCAAAACCAGUCAAAGAGCAUCUUCGGCGGUCCGCCGUCCAGAAGAGAAAAGCCAUUGGCGAAGAAGUGGCUCGACUGUUGGCGGCAGGAUUUAUCCGAGAGAUAUACCACUCCGAGUGGCUCGCUAAUGUCGUCAUGGUUCCUAAGAAGGACAAGUCGCUCCGAAUGUGCAUUGAUUUCAAGCACAUCAACCGGGCCUGCCCGAAAGAUCAUUUUCCUCUCCCUCACAUAGAUCAAAUUGUUGACUCGACCGCGGGAUGUGAGAGGUUAUCUGUUUUAGAUGCCUACUCCGGGUACCACCAGAUCCGUCUGUACGGGCCCGACGAGGUAAAAACAGCUUUCAUCACUCCAUUCGGGUGCUUCUGCUAUAUCACCAUGCCGUUCGGCCUCAAGAAUGCCGGAGCCACAUUUAUGCGAAUGAUUCAGAAGUGUCUACUCACUCAAAUCAGUCGGAAUGUGGAAGCUUAUAUGGAUGAUAUCGUUCUCAAGUCGCGGAAAGGUUCCGACCUGCUCGCUGACCUCGCCGAAACAUUUGCCAACCUCAGAAGGUAUGAUAUCAAGCUCAAUCCAUCAAAGUGCACAUUUGGAGUUCCUGGUGGCAAGUUACUCGGUUUUCUCGUUUCCGAACGGGGAAUCGACGCUAACCCAGAGAAGAUUGGCACUAUUCUCCGAAUGAAACGCCCUGUGCGAGUGCAUGAUGUCCAGAAGCUUACUGGAUGCUUGGCCGCAUUAAGUCGAUUCAUCUCACGACUCGGUGAAAAGGCAUUACCUCUUUACCGACUGAUGAAGAAGACAGACAAGUUCGAGUGGACUCCAGAAGCUGAUGCAGCGUUUGCCGAGCUAAAAGCUCUGCUCUCCACCCAGCCGGUGCUUGCUGCUCCAAUCAGCAAAGAGCCUCUGUUGCUCUAUAUCGCAGCCACAGGACAAGUCGUCAGUACUGUGCUAACGGUCGAGCGGGAAGAAGAAGGAAAAGCUCUCAAAGUUCAGCGCCCAGUGUAUUAUUUGUCUGAAGUCUUGACUCCAUCCAAGCAGAGAUAUCCUCAUUAUCAGAAGCUUGUGUAUGGAAUAUACAUGACCACAAAGAAGGUUGCUCAUUAUUUCUCUGAUCAUUCCAUCACAGUCGUCAGCGACGCUCCACUAUCAGAGAUUUUGCACAACAAAUAUGCAACUGGUCGAGUGGCCAAAUGGGCGAUUGAACUUCUUCCCCUUGAUAUCAAGUUUGAGGCAAAGAAAGCCAUUAAGUCCCAGGCAAUAGCAGAUUUCCUUGCCGAGUGGAUUGAACAGCAGCAGCCGACUGAAGUUCACUCGGAGCAUUGGACCAUGUUUUUUGAUGGCUCUAAGAUGUUGAAUGGUUCCGGUGCUGGGGUUGUCCUGGUUUCCCCCAGAGGAGAUAAGCUCAGAUAUGUGCUCCAGAUUCACUUUGAUUCCUCCAACAAUGAGGCAGAAUAUGAAGCCCUCUUAUAUGGGUUGCACAUGGCCAUUUCACUCGGCGUCCGUCGCCUGAUGGUCUAUGGCGACUCGGAUUUAGUGGUCAAUCAGGUGAUGAAAGAGUGGGACGUGAGAAGCCCAGCCAUGACUGGAUACUGCAGUGCAGUGAGGAAGCUGGAAAAGAAGUUCGAGGGGUUGGAGCUCCAUCACAUACCCUGACUGAAAAAUCAAGCAGCUGAUGAUCUAGCAAAGAUAGGUUCCAAGAGAGAAGCCAUUCCGAGUGGUGUGUUCUUGGAGCAUAUACACGCUCCGUCAGUCAAAGAGGAUCCUUUCACCGAAGAAACUCCACAGCCCAAGAGUGCCACAGAUCCGACUGAGGUUGAAGUCCCAGCAGUGGUCGACUUGAUCAUGGAGGUUUUUGUGGUCAUUCCCGACUGGACGAUUCCGUAUGUCGCAUAUAUCCUGAGGAAAGAGCUCCCGGAGGAUGAGGAAGAGGCUCGACAGAUCGUCCGUCGAUCUAAGGCCUUUACCGUAAUCAAAGGACAAUUAUACAGAGAAAGCGCGACUGGAGUUGGUCAGAAGUGCAUAACACCAGAAGAAGGUCGACUCAUCCUCAAUGAUAUUCACUCGGGGACCUGUGGUCAUCAUGCGUCCUCUCGGACCAUCGUGGCCAAAGCAUACCGAGCUGGAUUUUACUGGCCAAAGGCGAAUGUGAUGGCAAAAGAGAUAGUGGAUAAGUGCGAGGGAUGUCAAUUCUACUCGAAUAUGUCACACAAGCCUGCGUCGGCUCUGAAGACCAUUCCACUCGUCUGGCCUUUCGCAGUAUGGGGAUUGGACAUGGUCGGUCCUUUGAGAACAGGACGAAGUGGCUUCACGCAUGUACUGGUGGCAGUCGACAAGUUCACCAAGUGGAUCGAGGCUAAACCAAUCAAGAGCCUUGACACCGGUACUGCUGUUAGCUUCAUCAGGGAACUAAUAUUCAGAUAUGGAGUCCCACACAGCAUCAUUACGGAUAAUGGGUCGAACUUUGACUCAGAGGAAUUCAAAGCUUUCUGCAACUCCCAGGGCACACGGGUCGACUACGCUUCAGUCGCCCAUCCGCAGUCGAAUGGACAAGCAGAGCGAGCUAAUGGACUGAUUCUUAAGGGAUUGAAGCCUCGACUGAUGCGUGAUCUCAAACACGCGGCUGGAGCUUGGGUCGACGAACUUCCCUCAGUACUCUGGGGACUGCGGACCACACCUAAUCGGUCGACCGGAAGAACUCCAUUCUUCUUGGUCUACGAAGCUGAAGCAGUCUUGCCGAGUGAUCUUCUCCACAAUGCUCCUCGAGUUGAAAUCUACAACGAAGCAGAGGCUGAACAAGCGCGGCAAGACGCAGUCGACCUUUUAGAGGAAGAAAGGGAGAUGGCUCUGAUCCGGUCGACCAUCUACCAACAAGAUUUGCGUCGUUUCCACGCCAGAAAUGUGAGAAGUCGAGCCUUCCAGGAAGGAGAUUUGGUUCUCCGAGUGGAUCAGCACAAACCACACAAGCUUGCUCCUUCUUGGGAAGGCCCCUUCAUCAUCACCAAGGUUCUCCACAACGGGGCGUACCGUCUUUACAACGUCGAGCAUAAUAUCGACGAGCCCCGAGCUUGGAACGCGGAGCUACUCCGCCCAUUUUACACUUAAAUUUUAUCACUCGGAUGAGUUGCAAUAAAGUACUUCUGUAGUUCAUGGACCUCAAAAUAAUAGUGUCAUAGUCCCUCCAUAAUUUCUGUCGCUUUUUAUUUUUGUCCAAUAAAAUUCCCCCUCAGUGGGUGACUUAGCUGCGAAUCCGUUUCGCCUAAGUUUGUAAAAAUCCUACCGAGUGGCGAGCUAGACUCCCACUCGGAGGCUUAGCUGCGAAUCCGUUUCGCCUAAGUUAUCAAAAUCCUACCGAGUGGUAAGCCAGCCUUUCACUCGGGGGCUUAGCUGCAGCCCUGUGCUCGCGUAAGUUACAAAAAUCCUACCGAGUGGUAAGCCAGCCUUUCACUCGGGGGCUUAGCUGCAGCCCUGUGCUCGCCUAAGUUACAAAAAUCCUACCGAGUAUAGAGCAACCCUCUCACUCGGGGGCUUAGCUGCAGCCCUGUGCUCGCCUAAGUUACAAAAAUCCUACCGAGUGUAGAGCAACCCUCUCACUCGGGGGCUUAGCUGCAGUCCGAGCACUCGCCUAAGCNNNNNNNNNNNNNNNNNNNNNNNNNNNNNNNNNNNNNNNNNNNNNNNNNNNNNNNNNNNNNNNNNNNNNNNNNNNNNNNNNNNNNNNNNNNNNNNNNNNNNNNNNNNNNNNNNNNNNNNNNNNNNNNNNNNNNNNNNNNNNNNNNNNNNNNNNNNNNNNNNNNNNNNNNNNNNNNNNNNNNNNNNNNNNNNNNNNNNNNNNNNNNNNNNNNNNNNNNNNNNNNNNNNNNNNNNNNNNNNNNNNNNNNNNNNNNNNNNNNNNNNNNNNNNNNNNNNNNNNNNNNNNNNNNNNNNNNNNNNNNNNNNNNNNNNNNNNNNNNNNNNNNNNNNNNNNNNNNNNNNNNNNNNNNNNNNNNNNNNNNNNNNNNNNNNNNNNNNNNNNNNNNNNNNNNNNNNNNNNNNNNNNNNNNNNNNNNNNNNNNNNNNNNNNNNNNNNNNNNNNNNNNNNNNNNNNNNNNNNNNNNNNNNNNNNNNNNNNNNNNNNNNNNNNNNNNNNNNNNNNNNNNNNNNNNNNNNNNNNNNNNNNNNNNNNNNNNNNNNNNNNNNNNNNNNNNNNNNNNNNNNNNNNNNNNNNNNNNNNNNNNNNNNNNNNNNNNNNNNNNNNNNNNNNNNNNNNNNNNNNNNNNCCAAGCACUCGCCUAAGUUAUCAAAAUCCUACCGAGUGUAGAGCAACCCUCUCACUCGGAGGCUUAGCUGCAGUCCAAGCACUCGCCUAAGUUAUCAAAAUCCUACCGAGUGUAGAGCAACCAUCUCACUCGGAGGCUUAGCUGCAGUCCAAGCACUCGCCUAAGUUAUCAAAAUCCUGCCGAGUGAAGAGUAAACCUCUCACUCGGGGACUUAGCUGCAGCCCAGUGCUCUCCUAACUGGACUGAAGAAUAAGUCGAUUGCAGUAAAGGCGCCUUGCUUUGGACCUGCAAAAGACAUUUCGAGCCAAAGGCAAUCAUAUUCAAGCACCAAAUUCAAGUUUGAAUCGAUAUCUAAAGGAACCGAGAGUGCUCACGCGUUAAGCCUGUUAAGGUUUAUCGGUUACAAUUCCACUCGGCAUACCGAGGCAAAUUUAAAAGCGUCGAGCCAGAAUAAGUUUUUUAUCCCUCCUGUGGAGGGCUGGAAGGAGCAACGAAUUCAUCAAGGUCAAUUCCGUCGGCGAUCCAAGUGGCAGCUGCAAGGAAAGUUUCCAUAAAGGACCUAAAGUCGUGCUUCUUGGUAUUGGCCACCCGAAGGGCCGCCAGCUUCUCUUCUCGUGCAUCCUUACAGUGGACUCGGGCAAGACACAGAGCAACAUCUGCACCACACCGAGCCGAGGACUUCUUCCAUUCCUGCACUCGACCAGGGAUCGCGUUCAACCGGGCCAUCAGCGAUUCAAGGUCAUUCUGAAGUGUCUCCUCAGGCCAAAGCGUCGAGUCGAUGCGAGAUGUGGCGGCCUUCAGCCUUGCGAGAUAGUCCACGACAGCUGCAACACGGGACUCCAGUCGGAAAACAUCCAUGGCAACUUCAUCGUUCACCGGAGAAUUGACAGGGUCGAGGUUUGGCUCCAGCCGGCUAGUUUCUUCUUCAAAGUUUUGACAAAAUUCUGCAAGGGUGAUCACUAAGUCAAGGAGAUGGUCGAAUGGAAAAAUCACAAUUGGAAAUGUCUGCCAAGCAUAGAGGUUUACCUUCAAGCAUAAGAAACAACUUCUUGGCAAGUCCACUCAGGAAGGCCUCCAGAUCAGUUUUCUUCCCAGUCAAUUUGGCGACUUGGUCGGUCAGGGCAGCUUUAUCAGUUUUCAGUCGACUGACCUCCUUGUUGGCAAUCCCAAGAGCAGCUUUCAGAUUGGUAUUGUCUUGUUCGAGCUUGGUGACUGAAGCUAACUUCUCGUCAGCAAGCUUGAUCUUCUCAGCUAGCUCAAGGUCUUUCUUCUGUUGGGCCUCCCUUACCUUACCUGCAAGUUACAGCAAGAUCAGAUUUUGAAACAAGCAAGGGAAAAAGCAGUCGUCAGGGUCUCACCAAACAUACCUUCGGUCUCCUCCUUUGCCUUUGUCAGCUUCUCCUGAACCAGCUUCAAGCUCAGCUCGACUUGAGUAUGCUUGUGCUCCAGCUCUGAGUAGCGAGCCACAAGAUCACAAGAGUUCUGCGAAGAACCAAUCGACUAAAUGUCAAAUUUAAUUCACUUCCGAGUGAAAAAGGGAAAAACUCACGUUUCUAAGACUACAGCCGAGUACAAGCAUUCGACCGUAGUCUCGGGGACUACACCCAGUGGGUGCACUCAGCAUGCCCCCACUAAUCCUGUUGAAGACAAAGUCGACCAGUCGACCUCAAAAAAAAAAGAUGUAUUCUCUAAGACUGUGAUCAACUGCAAGCAGUCGACCACAGUCUCGGGGACUACACCCAGUGGGUGCACUCAGCGUGCCCCCACCGGUUUGUGAAAUCCAGUCGACUGACAGAAAAAUUGACAUCAUAAAGCCUAAGGCCGACUGCCAGCAGUCGACCUUAGCCUUGGGGACUACACCCAGCGGGUGCACUCAGCGUGCCCCCGCUAAUACGGAACUCAAUCGACAACACCCACUGGGUGACUACUAUAAAUUCCGGAAAGGAAAAGUUUUUGGCAGCAUAUCCAACAGAACAAACGGUGGUCGACUGACCUGAACAUUGCUUUGGAGGGCAGAACUGGCGUCAUAAGCUGCCUGGCUCGCGUCCCGGAUGGUCUUCAGCUGCUCCAUCAUGAGUCCCGCCUGGCGUAUCGCCUCCUUCGCUGCGCCAGCUUGGUCCUCUGGGACGUGGUGCGUCGUGAAGAGGGAGGGCUGUUGAGCACUCGUCAGUGGAUUCGCGAAGGACACCGUGUGUUGAGUGGUGUUCUCUUCCUCCACAGUCAGAAUCUCAGGCGCCGUCACAUCCUGAGGCACCUUACUGGCGGACGCUUUCCGACUCCUCCUGUGCUUCAGCGGCUCUUCAUCCUCAUCAUCAUCAGGAAGAUUGAUAACAGUAUUGGGUGGAGCUGCGGAGAAGAAUCAGGAUCAGAGAUCGCGAGUCAGUCGACUAAGAACGGCGUUAAGAAUACAGUACCUGGGUUCGAAGUUGCUGCGUCCUCCAUCUCGUCGUCAUCAGCCCGGGCCGAGGUUUCAGAAGUAGCAGCACUGCAACUCCAAAGGAUCAGUCGACUAACUUCAGCGUCGACCAGAGACAAAGUUCACACAAAAUGAGAAGAUUCAAACAACACGAUUACCCUGAUAUGGUAGGGAUGGACACCUUCAUCUUCGGUAGGAGCUUGAUCGGCUUCGACGAGGCCGCCCUGGGCUGCUUCGGCGCCUUUUCAGUCGGCACCGGAGAGGUGGUCCGAGGGCGCUUGGUUGACUGAGUGGCGGUCGCAACCCCCUUACCACGUUCAGUCGAAGGGUCGUGGACAAGCUUUGACCGCCUUUCUGAGCGCGGUGGUACGACCUCCUCCUCCUCUUCUUCCUCGUCCUCGACGUCAUCUUCAUCACCGUCAUCAUCAUCAUCGUCGUCAUCAUCCUCUGCAACAUCCGAGUCCCAUUCCUCCUCUUCCUGGCUCUCGCCCCCGCUCGCCUCGCCCUCCUCAGUCGAAGCUUGUGCCCCAUUGGGCAUCGAGUACAGCUCGGUGAGGGCCUAGCAGAUGUCCAGACAAGGAUCAGUCGACCAGUCGGCAGGGUAAACAGAAAUGAAUGCGACAAAAGCACAGUGGAGAGCAGGGCAAGUAUACCUUGUUUGGGUCGCUGUUGUGGUCGAGUGGAGGAAUCCUUCUGGCUCCGCGUGGGUUAUCCUUAUUUCCGGUAACGGCUACCAUCCACCUUUCCAGAGUGACGUCGUCGACUGCUUCUGGAUGGACUCUAGUCUCGUCUUCGGUCCCACAGUACAACCACAUGCAGUGGCUCCGGAACUGAAGGGGCUGGAUGCGACGCCUGAGGAAGACCUCCAGAAGGUCCAUGCCCGUCACUCCCUCCCGAACCAACUGCACCACGCGCUCCAUCAACAUCUUCACGUCAGCUUUCUCCUCCGGAAUCAGCUUCAGAGGGGAGGGCUUGUUCACUCGGUCCAUGGUAAACGGAGGGAGUCCACUCGACUGCCCCGGCGUCGACUGGACCUGGCAGUAGAACCAAGUCGACUGCCAGCCUCUGACGGACUCGGGAAAGGUCAUGGGCGGGAAGGUGCUCUUAUUCCUCACCUGGAUCCCCAGGCCCCCACACAUUUGGACGACUCGGGUUCUCUCAUCACCUGGGAUCGCCUUCUUCACGGUCUGAGAGCGACACGUGAAUAUAUGUUUGAACAAACCCCAGUGCGGUCGACAGCCCAAGAAACCCUCACACAUGGACACGAAUGCAGCAAGAUAGGCAAUGGAGUUUGGGGUAAAGUGGUGGAGCUGCGCUCCGAAGAAAUUCAAGAAGCCACGGAAGAAAAUACUCGGCGGCAAGGAAAACCCACGAUCAACAUGAGUGGCCAAAAGCACACACUCACCCUCUUCUGGCUGAGGUUGCCACUCCUUCCCCGGAAGCCUCGCAGCUCCGUGAGGGAUCAAGCCCUCGUUGGCCAUGUCGAGGAGGUCCUUCUCUGUGAUGGUCGACUGGAUCCAGUCUCCUUGGACCCAGCCCUUCGGCAGACGGGAUCUGGACGAGGACCCUCCGCGGCUGGUGGAUCUCCCCUUCGCCUUCUCCGACGCCGACGCCUUCUUUGCGCGCUCCAGUGCCGCCGUCUUCUCCUUGGCCAUGGUCGCCGGCGAGAUGCGCGAAGGGAAGUGGUGCGGGGGCGAGAGCGAGCACGCUGGGCGGAGAAGAAGGAAGCAGAGAGAGGGAGAGAAUGCUGAGGCGCAGCACAGAAAUCCUCGCCGGGCACAUUUAUAAGGUCUCUUCCGAGUGGAUGACAGGUGGGCCCGUCGAUCUAAUCAUAUCUGGGAGCAGUUACGCAGACUGGAUACGUGGCGAAAAAGGCGGCGCGGAGAUCGAGGCGUCUAUGCCCCGUCCCAUCCGAACGCCGCGGUCCGCCCCACUUCGCGCGCGUCCCCAAAUUUCGCAUCCCGCGGAAUCCGCAAACAACAAAUCAGUCUGUCAGACGCGGUGUUUCCGGCGAUCCGUCGCUCGGAGAUCGUCGAAGCCCAAAAGAUCACUCGACGCAAAAAUAGAAUGGAUCGAGUCGACUGAAGGCAAAUUGCUCCCUAUCGACGAAGAGAUUCUUUGGUCCAGGACAACGCACGACCAGGGCACAAAGGUUAAUCGGAAACGACAUCAACUCCUUCCUCACUCGAAGCCUCAAUCCAUUCGGGGGCUAAUGAUGGGGUUAUGUACCUAGGGUAGGGUCAUGGACCUGAUCUAAGUACCUUACCCAAGGACACCCUUAGAAGAAGUCGCCUUCCAGUCGACCAACGAGGGACACACUCGACUGACUUGAAGGACUCGACCACGAAGACUCACUCGACCACCAGAAGGUCAAGAGGCACUCUGCACUGCAACGACCUGUAAUCAAGUAGACUUUAUGAUAGUAAAGGCACUUUAUGUGGGGCGUUACUAGUAAUGCCCCAGACUUAACUCACCUUAAACCCUCUCCUACGUGGGCUGGCUGGGGUCCUGGCGCACUCUAUAUAAGCCACCCCCCUCCACAGGCAGAAGGGUUCGGCACCUUGUAACUCAUAUACUCAUAAUCCACUCGACCGCCUCCGGGCACCGAGACGUAGGGCUGUUACUUCCUCCGAGAAGGGCCUGAACUCGUACAUCCUUUGUGCUUACAACCUCUCCAUAGCUAGGACCUUGCCUCUCAAUACCUACCCCCACUCAACUGUCAGGCUUAGAACCACGACACCGGGCAAGCGUCGGGGUCUCCAAUUAGGUUUUGGAGAUCGCCCCGAGCAAUUUGACGGGUACCGGUGACCGCCCCCAAGGGUUGCCAAAGUGUACGGGUUCGGUGACCGCCCCCAAGGGUUGCCAUUUGUACGGGUUCGGUGACCGCCCUCAAGGGUCCCUUAGUGAAAUCACGGCAUCUUGCAUUGUGCGAGGGCGUGAGGAGAUUACGAUGGCCCUAGUGGCUUCUUGGGGAGCAUUGUGCCUCCACACCGCUCCAAACGGAGAUUAGCAUCCGCAAGGGUGUGAACUUCGGGAUACAUCACCGUCUCCGCGUGCCUCGGUUAUCUCUUACCCGAGCUCUUUACUUAUGCGCUUUACCUUGUGAUAGCCUUAUUGUUUCUUGUCAUAUAUCUUGCUAUCACCUAGUAGUUUAUCUUGCUUAGCAUAAGUUGUUGGUGCACAUAGGUGAGCCUAGUUGUUGUAGGUUUUGUGCUUGACAAAUUAACCGUUAGGUUUAUUCCGCAUUUGUUCAAGCCUAAACCGUAAUUAUUUUAAAAGCGCCUAUUCACCCCCCUCUAGGCGACAUCCACGAUCUUUCACCUACCAUGCAGUUAUGCCUCUAAGUCGUGCUCCGACACGUGGGAGAUAUAGCCGCAUCGUGGGUGUUACAGUAGUCCUUCCCCUCCUCUUGGCAGCCUCGCAUCCCCUCUAACCUAUAUAUACUUGAGGUAUUGGCCCUUUUCUACACACAAGUUUUGGAUCUUCCUCUAGUUCAUCCAGUUUUAUUUCUAAUUGGUCCUAAUUGACUAACGAGAGCUAGACCUAGUUCCUCCAAUCCUCAUAAUUAGAAGUCCAGUGUGGUUUUAAUCUCUCAUCUCUAAUUCUCCAGCGACGAUUAGCUCUGGAUGGCGAAGUGCUACUAGAUCAUGAAGACCGUACGCUUGCAACCAAGUAGAGAGGUCAUGCUUUCGGUGUUCUAUUCGAGGGAUCGUUUGAGGGCAGUUCGCGAGAUCAUCGUCAACGGUUCAUGGAACUCCAAGUACGAUCUACACCGUCUCAUCUACUUCUGUUGCACUACGGACUCGGUAACGAUCAUUGAUCCAAACCCUAUAUGCAUCUUCAUACUGUUCCUAGGUGUUCGUAGGGCAAUUGUUUGUUUUAUACUAUGUUUCCCAAUAGAACCAACACCUUAUGCAUAAUCUUUAAGAUAAAAUAAAGGACAAGUUUCAUAUUUCCGGAACUCCUAUUGGUCAAUCUUAUCAUAACCACUUGAGUACUUGUAUGAUGCAUUAUUUUCUGAUGACAUGGACAUUUUUACCAAGAAGCUAACAAAUGUUGGAGAUACUCUUACAUUUUUAUACUCCGUACACACUUUGUACUAAAUCUCCGGGCCUUAUUUUGGGAUGGAGGAAGUAUAUAUCUCUUCCAUGGGUAAGAUCACUAUGUAAGUGGGCCUAGCCUACUAUUGUUUGUUCUAACAUCCUUAAUAAUGUUAUUUAGAGCAUCUACAGUUGGGCGCCCCCAACCCUUUCUAUACGUCCGGGCAGAUAGCCCAAUAGCUAAUCGGUCAAAACACCCGACCUAGCGGGAAUCCUCAAACCGGCCCCAAACGUCUGGGCUGUCCGGCACACCUCAUAUCCAGCCCAUAUCAAGAGGGGAUGUGGGAGGCCCUGGCGCGUCCGCCAUGUCAGCCCGGCCACACUGGCCCAUCCCGACCCAAUUCGGUCCCCACUAAAAAUCCCACCUGGAGUAAACCCCAGCUCCAUUUCACUCUCACUCCACUCUUCGUCUACUCUUCUCCCACUCCUCAACAAAUCCCCCCCUCUUCAUCCACCAUGUCCAACACCAACAAUGGUGGAGAUGACGGAUCCGGUGAUGAGUGGGACGCCUUCCCUAAUGAGGUGGAGGACGGCGGGGAGGAGCUGGCCCUCCGCAUCAUGCUACAGUGCUCGCGGGUGGACACAGGUAGCAGCUCCGACUCUGCUCCAUCCCCUGUCGCCACCGGACGCUUUGUCGGGCCCAUCCGCACUGUGUAUAGCUCUGUGUGGUCAACCUGCUCCAUGCCACUAGUUCGCCACCCUCCUAACCCUCCGGCUGCUCCUCCUCAAGAGAAUUGAUGCACGUUAGUGCCCGCUCCACCGGCGGCAUGGACGCGCAUGCCUGAAUCUGAGGCAUGCGUCGCCUGCUGCGAGAGCCAUCGGGCUAGGGAGAGGACGAUGGCGUCGAAGGCGGCUGCAUAGUCCUCCCGACAUCGUCGUAGAUUGUAGGCGGUGUCCAAUGAGGACUCGCGGCUCCUCGCGGCUGUCUACCAUCGCUCACUUACGACCUCGACGUGCGAGGCGACAAAGAGGGCGGCGGCAGAUGCAAGAGCAGCAAAGCUCAAGAGGCAGCAGAAUCGCUUAUCCGGAGAAUGGCCGUCUUCAUUGACUCCUCGUCCUCCUCCAACAUCACCGAUGGCUCCGAUGACCCAUCUUCUUCCACCGACGCCUACACGGAUGCCUACUGCAGCGCCGUUGACUAGAAGGGAAAAAUGCUGGUGAGGAAAUGGUGAAGAAGCUCUGCCCUCUCUCAGCCUUUAUUUCCCCCCUUAGUAAUUUUAGUUGAGAAUUAUGCCCGUCGACUGGACUAUGGUGCUCUUUUGGUCUACGUUCGAAUUAUAUUAAUUUAUAUGUCUGUAUUAUGUCGAUUUCUAUGUCGUUUGUUGAAUGUCCUUUUGUAGGGUUCCGGAUAUGAGGUACAUGAUUAUGAGGAGAGUAUCCUGUGAUACCGGAGCUUAGGUGCUCCCAUGAUACGGGCUUUUGGGCCAUCGGAUCUCAGAUCCAACGGCGUAUGAGAAGUUGUUGUACUUGUGCGCAUUUUUCAGAUUCAAUGAGGGCUUUUUUGCAAAAAUGUUCACCAUCUUACAGGAGCUGUUGGAUUUGAGAUCCAACGGCUGACCCGGAGCACCAGAUAUUUUCCCCAAGAUUAUGGACACAACAAUUUGAGGAUUGACCGGUCACUAGGCAUGUCCGCGGAUGUAUAGGAUGCUAGAUUUGGUAUGAGUGGUUGUAGAUGCUCUUAAGAAGCGGUCAUGCGGACCAAAACGAAAGUGGAGUAUUUUCUCCUGACUUCAUAUGUACCCUCAUGAAUAGUAAAAUAUAAAAAUAGUAAACAAUAUUCUAAAAUUUUGUGGGUAAACUUUGACCAAUGUUUUGUGUGCUCGAAAAAAUUAUCAUAAAAGGACAUCUAUGAAAGCCGUGACAAAAAGAAACAGAAUCGAUGCUCUAAAAUGCUACUUUGAAAGCACUUUAGGGUGCUGAAUUUUUUUGCCAGGACUUACCUGAAUGUACAUAAUGAAAAUUUUCAAGCAUACAAAACAUUUUAAAAUGGUCAUUUGUAAACACAUGUUAAUGUUCAUUUUUAUUUUUUGGGUGGAAAAGGUUAGCACCCUUUUAUUUUAACAAAGUCAUCUGUAUGUAUUUUAGCAAAGUCACAUGCACAGAUAUACACAACUACCCACUCUCAUCCACGGGUAUACACAACUACCCACUCUAAAUAGUAGUACAACCACGAAUCAAUUUGGAAUUAUCUCUACUCUUAAUAAAGCAGUUGGUGAAUAGUCUCCACGGUUUAUUUUUAUUGGUUUUUUUUUCGUGUCUCCUCCCACCCCCCUCCCACCCUGAUCCAUCGGUUUAUUUCUCUCUCCACUCUUUAUUACAAGCAAAACUUUCCUAACGAAUAACAAAUCACGGAUCUAACUUUCUUAAAUUAUGCAAAUCAAUCGAUUCCAUUUAUUGGUUCAAUUUGUCUUAGGAAACAAAUAACAGAUUUUCAAGAAAAAAUUAUAUAUUUUAAUCUAACUUUCCUAACUUAUCUAAAUCAAUCUAUUUCUCUCAUUAGUGAAAUUUGUUUUAGAAAACAAAUAACAGACACGUCACAAACUUUCCUCCCAAUAAAUAGUUUCUUAACAUUUGCAAACUUUCCUAAUCAGACACGUCACAAACGGGCAGGUACUGAUAUCACGUUACCAAACAAUAAAACCCCAUUUGCAUAGAAAUCGGUUCAAAAUUCUAACUUUCCUAAAAUUUUACCUUUCCUUGAUAACAACCAAUAUUUCUUAUGUUUUCCACCUAUAGAAGGAAAUCACCCCUCCAUCGAUAUUAGCAUUUUUUUGGAAUGAGAUCUUCAGGUUAUGAUUUUUUUUUGCGAUUAUUUUCGAUGGUGACCUCUCCUUCCGCUCCGGCUCCUUCUCGCAUAAACACCUCCACCACAGCCAGCUGACGCCACCCCAGACCUCCUGCCUCUCCACACCUUCUCCACCACCUCCUCCUUGUACUCCAUUGACAAUCCCUCUGCCAUGUUUGUCCACGGCGGUGUUGAGGACAUGGCGCAGCAGCGUACUAGCGGUAGAGCAUCGCAUAGCAGUAGGAAGCAACACGCAGCAGGCGAGGCAAGCGACCUGCGUGGCUGAGAGGGCGGCCGGCAGAAGAUGGCCGUGACAGGAGGGGGCGUGAGGCAGGGGCGUGACUACGGGGCGAGCGAAGGGAUAGGCGGCAGCAGACGGGGUGAGCGCAGCUAGCGAGAGUGUGGUGCGUGGCCAGGGUGUGCGUCGCGCGGGUCACAGUGGUGCGGUGGCUGCGGCGAGCGCGACGACAGUGGCGGGCGCGAUCGACGCGGUGUGGCACAGGCGUCCAUAUAUACUUUAAGGGUGUUGAGGUCAUUAUAGGAGUAUUUAGAUUGAUCAAGUUUCUAUCUGCUCUUUCUUCCUGUAUGGAUUUUUCAAAAUUGUCGAUGAGUAUUUAAAUGAUGAAGUUUCUAUUUGGUAUCACUUCCUGUGAGGAUAUCCCAAAAUUACCAGAUCCAAUAUUAUUUUAGCAUGGCCUUUGGUAGUUCAUGUGCAUGUAUUUUAGUCUCAUAUUUUCUUCAAAUUUAUACUGAAAUGAUGUUUCAAUCAAGGUGAGGGAGUCCUGGAUUAGGGGGUGUCCGGAUGGCCGGACUAUACCUUCAGCCGGACUCCUGUACUAUGAAGAUACAAGAUUGAAGACUUCGUCCCGUGUCCGGAAGGGACUUUCCUUGGCGUGGAAGGCAAGCUUGGCGAUACGGAUAUGCAGAUCUCCUACCAUUGUCACUGACUUUGUGUAACCCUAACCCUCUCCGGUGUCUAUAUAAACCGAAGGGUUUUAGUCCGUAGGACAAGAUACACAACAACAAUCAUACCAUAUGCUAGCUUCUAGGGUUUAGCCUCUCUAAUCUCGUGGUAGAUCUACUCUUGUACUACCCAUAUCAUCAAUAUUAAUCAAGCAGGACGUAGGGUUUUACCUCCAUCGAGAGGGCCCGAACCUGGGUAAAACUCCGUGUCCCUUGCCUCCUGUUACCAUCCGGCCUAGACGCACAGUUCGAGACCCCCUACCCGAGAUCCGCCGGUUUUGACACCGACAUUGGUGCUUUCAUUGAGAGUUCCUCUGUGUCGUCGCUGACAGGCUCGAUGGCUCCUACGAUCAUCAAUAGCGAUGCAGUCCAGGGUGAGACCUUCCUUCCCGGACAGAUCUUCGUCUUCGGCGGCUUCGCACUGCGGGCCAAUUCGCUUGGCCAUCUGGAGCAUAUCGAAAGCUACGCCCCUGGCCGCCAGGUCAGAUUUGGAAGUUUAAACUACAAGGCUGACAUCCGCGGGGACUUGAUCUUCGACGGAUUCGAGCCACUGCCGAGCGCGACACACUGUCACGACGAGCAUGAUCUAGCUCUGCCGCCGAACAGUGCCCUGGAGGCCGCACCCGCAUCGGCUUCAACCCUUAAUUCGGAGCCUACUGCGCCGAUCGAGGAUGGGUGGUUGGACGCCGCCUCGGGGGCUGCGAUCCCAACGGCGAUCGAGCCAAACACCAGCCCCAUACUCCGCGAGACUCGUGACUCCAGGGAGCCGGACUCCUCUCUGGACUCCGAACCCUCCGCGCCCCUGCCGAUCGAAUCCGAUUGGGCGCCGAUCAUGGAGUUUACUGUCGCGGAUAUCUUUCAGCACUCGCCUUUCGGCGAUAUUCUGAAGGCACUAAAGUCUCUCUCUCUAUCAGGAGAGCCUUGGCCGAGCUACCGUCAGCAAGGUUGGGAUGCGGACAAUGGAGAAAUUCAAAGCCCACCCACCACCUACCUUAUAGCCACUGUCGAUGAUUUAACCGAUAUGCUCGACUUCGAUUCCGAAGAUACCGACGGUAUGGACGCCGACACAGGAGACGAUGAAGAACUAGCGCCUAUUGAGCCCUGGAAAGCCACCUCGUCAUAUGACGUAUACAUGGUAGACGCACCAAAAGAUGACGACGAGGAGCAGAAGAACGCACCAAAGGCUUGUUCCCUCGAGAAGCAGUCAAAGCGGCGACGCAAGCGCCGCCCCAAAUCCCGCCUCGACAGAAAUAACGAUCACACAGACCCAGCGCUGGAGCAUGGCGAACCGCUGCCGGACAAUGGCAAUCCGGAUAAUCAAACCGAACAAACAAAUUCUAUCAAGGAUAAUAGUCCGGACGAUAUAACGCCGGACAGGCACCCGGAGCAGCAGAAUGCCCGUAAGAGGCUUGUUGCCACCGCGAGGAGUCUCAAAAAGCAUAAGCAAAGGCUCAGGGCUGCGCAAGACACACUCCAAAUCAGAUGGAGUAAAAUACUCAACACAGCAACGAGGUACGGCGACAAUCGCCCCUCCAAGAGCUACCCAAAGCAGAAGCUGCUACCCGAAUUUGAUGAGGAGGCCUCAUACCCUCCACAACCAAACAUCAAAGCAGCCACCUGGCCAGAUAGACGACCCCUCUACCAACACACGGUGGCAUACAACGCCACUCACAAUACAACACGCGACCCAGGCGAGGGCUCGCACCCAAAGGACGGCGCAACAAGAUCCAUCUAUGGACCACGCAAGCGCGCCCCAGCAUACAAUGCAAUACAACAAAGAUCCGAACAACGCGGCACACCCAGCUACAGAGGUGCCGCACACCCCCUGUGUUUCACCGAUGAGGUGCUGGACCAUGAAUUCCCAAAAGGAUUCAAACCCGUAAACAUAGAGGCAUACGACGGAACAACAGACCCUGGGGUCUGGAUUGAGGACUACAUCCUCCAUAUCCAUAUGGCUCGAGGAGAUGAUCUCCACGCCAUCAAGUACUUACCCCUCAAGCUUAAAGGGCCAGCUCGUCACUGGCUUAAAGGCCUCCCCGAAAGCACCAUUGGAAGUUGGGAAGAGCUCGAAGACGCCUUUCGGGCAAAUUUUCAAGGGACUUAUGUCCGACCUCCGGAUGCGGACGAUUUGAGUCAUAUAACUCAACAGCCCGGAGAGUCAGCCCGAAAGCUUUGGUACAGGUUUCUUACUAAAAAAACCAGAUUGUCGACUGUCUGGAUGCUGAAGCCUUGGCAGCUUUUAAGCAUAGCGUCCAUGACGAAUGGCUCGCCAGACACCUCGGCCAAAAUAAGCCGAGAACGAUGGCCGCAUUAACAAACCUCAUGACCCGCUUUUGCGCGGGUGAGGACAGCUGGCUAGCCAGAUGCAGCACCAGCGACCCCAGUACAUCUGAAGUUAGAGAUGGAAACGGGAAAUCACGGCGCAACAGCAAUAACAAACGCCGGAAUAAAGAAGACAUCACGAAGGGCACGGCAGUAAACGCCGGAUUCAAAAGCUCUCGGCCAGGUCAGCAAAAGCCGCCCUCUAAAGGCACCAGGGAUGAACUGUCCAGCCUCAACAAAAUUUUGGACCAAGUAUGUCAGAUCCAUAGUACCCCUGGUAAACCUGCUAAUCAUACCCACAGAGAUUGUUGGGUCUUCAAGCAGUCCGGCAAGCUCAACGCCGUACACAAGGGGGAGGAUACACCAAGUGAAGACGAGGACGAGCCUCCCAAGCAAGACACUGGGGAACAAAAGAAAUUUCUGCCAGAAGUCAAAACAGUAAACGUGUUACACGUGAUCAAGGGACACAAUGCGGCACUCCCAGGGAAAUAUACCCAAGUGCCUGUCACCACUAAGUCCUGCCACUGGUCGUCUCAACCGAUCACUUUCGACCAUCGCGAUUACUCAGCAAGUAUCCGGCGUGCAGGAUGGGCUCCCCUGGUAUUAGACCCAGUAAUUGGCGGAUAUCACUUCACACGAGUAUUGAUGGACAGUGGCAGCAAUCUAAACCUAAUAUAUCAGGAUACAAUCCGCGGGAUGGGGUUAGACCCAACAAAAAUUCGCCAUAGCAAUACUACCUUUAAAGGAGUAACGCCACGCCCAGGGGCUCGCUGUACGGGCUCCCUACUACUACAAGUUAUAUUCGGCUCCCCCGAUAACUUCCGUCGUGAGCAUCUAACCUUCCAUAUCGCUCCGUUCCGAAGUGGCUAUCAAGCACUGCUCGGAUGCGAAGCUUUCGCUCGCUUUAAUGCAAUACCACACUAAGCCCCCCUCACACUCAAGAUGCCCGGUCCACGUGGCAUCAUUUCAGUGAACGGAAAUAUCAAGCGAUCUCUGCGCGCCGAAGAGAGUGCGGCUGCCUUGGCAGCCGCACACGAAAGGCGCCCGAACCACCGAAAGCAUCCAAUAGGUCGUCAAGACCUCAGACACAACUAACCAAGUCCGGCACCGCUAUUUAUACCGAAUAAACGGUCACACCCCUAUUUGUCAAUGCAAGGGACUCAACGCGCACAGACAAGUGGCAAUCUUUUCUUAUCUUGAAUUAUACAUGGUUUCUUUAAAAACUACCUUUUUGCACGACAACUUUUUCACCUAAAUUCCUCUCUUUUACAGAUGAUCAUCGUGCUACACCCGUCCAGGACAUGGCACAAUGGAGACACAGGCGCAGACGUGCAGCAGGGACCCGCUCCAAGGAUUCUUUUUAGAUUAAGACCCCGCGUAAACCUUUUUUACUGUCUCUUGUUGAUACAUAUCCAUCGUUGAGAAGGAUGCUGACGUCUUGGCAUGUGGCCACGCCAGAACAAUGCACGUACCUGGACACAAGGGGCUUCUUACAAAGGCCAUUAUUCAGGCCCGGUUUAUACCACAAAGACCGAAUACCUUAGGGAGUGUUCGGCGUCACGAGUUUGGCCCUAUAUGCAUCAGCUCCGAAUCAUUGUCUUUGGUCAAAUGUUGGGUUUGCCCAGCUCCUGUGUUUUGGUGCCUUACAUUCCGCUUUACCGGCUAAGGUAGCACCAGGAGAACUACUGUGAUUGUGCCCUGGUUCAUCCGGACGAGCACCUCAGUAGAGAAAGCCGAAAACUGACUGUCAUGAUAUAGCGUGAGACUGGUCAACCACUCAAUGACCUGUUGAAAUGUUAGAAUUCCUCCGCCUUAACGAAGGGCCGUUUUUCGGCCAGGCAUGUACGCACCCCGGGAUCGGAAGAGUGUGGAGCCACCAGGGGCUAUCUAGUAGCCCCACUGUGAAACUCCUAUGGCUAAGUGAAAGUGCUAAAGCAUUAUAGUCCGGUUGCCUCGCUCGCUCCGCUAUCACCUCCUUAAUAGGACCAAGACGUUGGGUUAAGUGUGAACGCGUGUUUUUGCGAGCACCUCCGCAUUAUAUGCGUGGGGGUUAAAGCCGACGGCUGCAAUCUUUCAGGUUAUACACAUGUAUACAUAAACGGGCGCCUAGGAGGCAUCAUAUUACUUUCAGGCAAAAGUAUAAAAAUAGCCUUAUAAAACUUUAUAAAAGCAUUUCGCUUACAAUGAGAUUGCAUAUCACUCAAACAUAAUAUUUUUUGAGCACCGGGUCUCUAUCAAACGAGCACCCUCAAAAACUUCUUCAAAGUAGUGCUCAGCAGCCAUUCGGCCUAUCGCCGAAUCCCGCGCUGCAACAGUGGUGGCAUCCAUCUCCGCCCAGCAUGCUUUAACACGGGCAAAGGCCAUCCAUGAGCCCUCUAUGCACGCCGACUUCUUCGUCGCAUUGAUGCGCGGCACCAUGUCAAGGAACUGCUGCACCAAGCUGAAAUAGCUGUUCGGUUUUGGCCUUUCCGGCCAUAGCUGAUCCACAACAGACCUCAUGGCGCGUCCGGACAACCUAUUCAGCUCGGCCCAUUCGGCUAAUUGGUCAGUCAAUGAAAGUGGACGCUCGGGAGAAUGGAAUUGUGUCCAAAACAGCUGGUCCACUUCAUGGUCCGUUUGACCCUGGAAGUACUUGACCGCAUCGGCAGCGCUCGCCGCCAAAUCCAUAUACACAUCCUCCGAACUCCACAGCCGAUCCAGAGGGGCAUACCGUGGAUCUCCGAACUUCCUCCGCAACAUAAAGGAUUUCCCAGCUACAAUAUCCCUGGCUUCCCGCAGCUCCUCCUUCUUUGCCCUCAUAGCAGAGCGGAGGUCUUUUCUCAUCACAGCAGCCUUCUCAAGGUCCGAUGCCUUCGCCUGGUUUUCCUUUUCAAGAACCCGGCAACGGUCGGCGGUGGCUUUUAAUUCUAUGGCCAUCUUGGCCAGCUUAUCUCGGCUCUCGCCAUGCGCGGCCUUCUCGGCUUGCAACUCUUCGGCCGCCUUCAAAGCAGCCGCAUUACCCAACCUCGCUUGUUCCUUGGCUCGGGCAAGUUCUGCCCGCAAGGCUUCAACAGUGGCAGCUCCAUCUGUAGUCACAACAUAUUAAAGAUACUGGCAUCAUGCUGCUCUUCCUAUGUGACGUUUACCAGAUAAUGACACUUACCAUGUGCCUCGUCAAGCCUUUUGUUAACAAGCUCGAUGUCGUCGUCUGCCGCAUCUAACUGCCGUUUCAAAUAGGCAAACUCGCUAGUCCGGCUAGCCACCGGAGCUUCCAUCACCUGCACAUAGAGGCAGUAUGAUUAUUACCUGGGAAUAUGAUCCUCUGUUCGUCGUCGUUUCCGACAACCACCAGUCUCAGGGGCUACUAUCUACACAGGCCACACCUAGCAUGUGCAGGACAAUUAUACAUUAUUUUACGUACCUCAAAGCCUCUCAGUAGACUCAUAAAAUCUUUAUGCAAUCCGCUUUCGGCGGACAAGAUUCUCUCCAUCAUCGUAUUCAUCAGCAUACUGUGUUCAUCUGAGAUGGCCGCUCGCCCCACCAACUCCCUCAGAACAUCCGAUCGCGCACCAGACGGUGCCGGACUCUUUUGUCUGUUCUCUUCGGGAGCCGGACACUGGGAGCUUCGGGGUUCAAUGGGAUUAUCUUCUGGCCUCAUCGAAUCCGGAGAAGCCCUCCGCGACGACACUUCGGGGUCACCCGCUUCUGAAGCGGAGGAGUCCGUAGGAGGCGUUUCGCUCUCCAUCAUCUCUGGAAGAAGAUCCCCCAAAGACGAACUCAUUUGAGAGGGGCUAAGGCCCGAACUGCAAAGAUAUAUGCGGUGGUUAUUUUCUCAGAAGAAAAAGAUGGCAUACCUGUACUAUUAAAGUAUUUCGGGUCACUUACGACUCGCUGGAGGAAUGAUCCCCCCGCGGACUUGGUGCGGCGAAAGCACCCCCCGAGGUAGGACCCUCUGUGGGAGACUUCUACUCCCGUUUGGAAGCUUCGGCUUCCGAAUCCCCGGGCACAGUCCUUUUCCUCCUCCGGUCAUCUUCCUUCAUGGAGACACUCGCUCCCUCGGUUAGAAUGGGCAGCGUUGGGGGCCCGCGUCCGCCCGUAUUACCCUCCCCGGUAUCUUCCUUCAAGGGCUCCGGGCAGGGUGCGACCUGGAGCAUCUUUUCCAGUACCGGAUUUUCCAAACCCUCAGGGAGGGGGGCCGGACACCGAAUCAACUUCGCCUUUGUUAGCCAGUCCUGGUCAAAAAGCGAACUCUUAGAGAUAACUUCGUAACAAAUAAGAGAUAGUAUGUUCGCCCGGAAGAUUCCUUACCUGUUCGGCGGCGCGGUUACUGCUCAGGCCCACGUCCUCGGUGAUUUCCGGACACUCUACCUGAGGUUCGAAGAAUGACUUGUACAUCUCCUCGUGCGUCAGGCCGAGGAAAUUUUGAAUGACACGUAGUCCUUCGGGAUUGAACUCCCACAAGCGAAGGGGCCGGCGUUUGCAAGGCUGGACUUGACGGACCAGCAUAACUUGUCUUACCGCAACCAAACUGAAAUCUCCAUUAAAGAGAUCUCGAAUGCGGCUUUGCAGUAUAGGCACGUCCUUGGCUAGACCCCAGCUCAGUCCUCUGCUAAUCCAUGACAUCAGUUGUGGUGGAGGGCCCGAGCGGAAAACGGGGGCGGCCGCCCACUUGGCACUUCUAGGGCCGUGAUGUAGAACCACUCCUGUUGCCACAAUUCAGACACCUCUGGAAUGGAACCUUUGGGCCAUGAAUCUCGCGUCAUCUUGCGUAUUGAGGUACCUCCACACGCCGCAUGUUGCCCCUCGAUCAUCUUCGGCUUUACUUCAAAGGUCUUGAGCCAUAGGCCAAAGUGAGGGGUAACCCGGAGGAAGGUCUCGCGCACGACAAUAAAUGUCGUGAUAUGAAGAAAGGAGUCCGGAGCUAGCUCAUGGAAAUCUAGCCCGUAAUAAAACAUCAAGCCCCUGACGAAAGGAUCCAGAGCAAGGCCUAGACCUCGGAGGAAGUGGGAGACGAACACGACGCUCUCGUUGGGUUCGGGGGAGGGGACGGCCUGCCCCCGGGGAGGCAGCUGAUGCAAAAUCUUGGCGGUCAGAUAUCUGGCCUCCCUCAACUUUUUGAUGUCUUCUUCCGUGAUGGAGGAAGGCACCCAUCGGCCUUGAAGGCUAGAUCUGGACAUGACUGAAGGUUCGGAGCACCUGACUGAACUUUAGGCGUUUGAGCUUGAGGUGGGGAAGGAUUCGAUUGAGCACGGGAGGGAAGAAUAAAAGCCUUGUCCCUUUAUAAAGAGGGUGAAUAUCAAGCGUCCUCUCCGUGUCCGUUUGGACUUGCCUAUAAUCUAGGAGUCCUAGAAGUGGUUGGGUUACCCACGCCCGUAGUGAUGAGAAUCCCGGAAUAAGGGGACACGAUCUCUGCUUUAACGAGACGUGCCAAGGAAACCGUCUCGCAUGACACGCUGAGGUGGGAUAAUAAAACGAUCCGGAUAAAGGCUUGGUUGUGGUGUGUCGCAGUACGUAAUACGUCAGCAGAUUAGAUUUGUGUAAAUAUUAUUGUCUCUAUGGCAAUAUGUGGAAACUUAUUUUGCAGAGCCGGACACUAUCUUUGUGUUCAAAAUCUUCUAUGAAGUACUUGGAGGAGGAACCCGCCUUGCAAUACCGAAGACAAUCUGCGCGCCGGACUCGUCGUCAUUGAAGCCUGGUUCAGGGGCUACUGAGGGAGUCCUGGAUUAGGGGGUGUCCGGAUGGCCGGACUAUACCUUCAGCCGGACUCCUGGACUAUAAAGAUACAAGAUUGAAGAUUUCGUCCCGUGUCCGGAAGGGACUUUCCUUGGCGUGGAAGGCAAGCUUGGCGAUACGGAUAUGCAGAUCUCCUACCAUUGUAACCGACUUUGUGUAACCCUAACCCUCUCCGGUGUCUAUAUAAACCGAAGGGUUUUAGUCCAUAGGACAAGAUACACAACAACAAUCAUACCAUAGGCUAGCUUCUAGGAUUUAGCCUCUCUGAUCUCGUGGUAGAUCUACUCUUGUACUACCCAUAUCAUCAAUAUUAAUCAAGCAGGACGUAGGGUUUUACCUCCAUCGAGAGGGCCCAAACCUGGGUAAAACUUCAUGUCCCUUGCCUCCUGUUACCAUCUAGCCUAGAACAGUUCGGGACCCCCUACCUGAGAUCCGCCGGUUUUGACACCGACACAAGGUUGUUCCAUAUUGAGCUACCUUGCGAAAAAUAUGCAUAAUAAUUGUCUGUGUUUCUGAUGAGUUGGAGCAGAUGCAAGGUUGUACAUGUACCGAAUAAAUCAUGAUGCAGGACCGCUUGUGAUUAUUUUUAGGACACAUAGUGUUGGCGUGGGGACCUUUUCAUAUGUUCUAUAGUAAGAAUUUUUCAUCUUAUGCUUUGUACUAAGUUGGUUUUAUAACUUGUGUGCUUAUUUCACUAAUGCAUGCAGGAGUGUCAAACAGUGAUGAUGUGUUCUGUAUACGAUUUUGUUUGCUCUAAUUCUUUAUAUUCUCACGAGUAGAUCAAGUGUAAGUAUGUGCAAUGUAGUUCCUUUUUCUACAUAUGGUGAUUGAUUUCUUCUUCGGCAACCCAACAAACAGAUGGUAAUCAAUCUUCAAAUACCAAAAUCAGGCACUUGAUAUGUAUAAAAAUAUUAAAUGUAAUAUUAACAUAAUUGAUAUUGAACUCUUAAAAUUAAUGUAGCCCCGUUGCAAUGCACGGGCGUUCUUCUAGUAUGGUUAGAAGGACAGUGAUAUUCCCUAUUCAUCAAAGUUCACAUUAGAGUUCAAGUCCAUAUUGGUGUUCAUAUUUUUUGGGUUUAUUUAACCUGAGGUUGGAUGACAGUGGUACCGCAUAUCCAUCAGAAUUCAAGUCCAUAUUUCAAGUCUAUAUUGGUGUUUGUACUUUUAUGAAUUUAUUUAAUUCGAGGUUGGAUGAUUUGAAGGAUAAGAAGGAUAAUGAUAUCUGUCCAUUAGAGUUCAAGUCCACAUUAAUGGUCACACUUUUGUGGAUUUAUUUCAUGCCAGAGUUCAAGUCCACAUUGAUGGUCACACUUUUGUGGAUUUAUUUCAUGGCUUUCAGUGAUGUUCAAUGGGAGGAGUGUUGACUACAAAGUUCAAAUCCAUAUGGGUGUUUUGUAUUUUUCUGAACUUAUUUAAUUUAAGAUUAAAUGAUUAGGAGGACAGUGGUAUCUCUGAUUUAAAUCCAUGUUCAUGGUCGCAUUUUUUUAAAUUUAUUUCAUGUCUUCCAAUAAUGUUCAACGAGAGAAGAUGCUACUGUUGACUACAAAAGCGUUUAUGACUAGUCAUAGAGAUAGAAUAUGUGUGCUUACACUGUGUAUGUAAACGACUAGUCAUAAAGAUAGAAUAUGCGUGCUUAUACAAUAUAAGUUACACACACGCUCGUGUAUGUAAACGACUUCGAUUAUACUGUGUAAAGAAAUACAAUGCUGUGUAAAAAAAGCAACAGUACAACGUUUUUCCUUUUCGUGGGAAAAUCGACAGACAAUAGCACAAUUCCGGUAGUACUGCAUACUCGUAAGUUCAUUCUUAUUGGCACUAAAAAUGCUCAUUCUUACUUACCGAAAACAAAGAUAUUCCAAUCACUUCAGUUCUCCAAAGUGAAAAAACAGGGGUUCCACCCGGCGAUUUACUCAACCGGGGAACAUUAAGCGAACACCUCCAUUUUACCAAUCACACUGCUUUUUCUCGAUUCGUUGUGCUCAC